Xyrichtys novacula (pearly razorfish) is the source of this 65248-nucleotide non-coding RNA. NCBI's taxonomy places the organism in Eukaryota, Metazoa, Chordata, Actinopteri, Labriformes, Labridae. The record is from the annotation of a GenBank genome assembly.
ACAAAGAACUUUAGGGGAUCAAUGAAAAUUGAUCAAUAACGUUUGUCUUAUUGAUCGACCUUAGUACUAUUAUUAGAAAUCAAUUUUAGGUCUUUUGGUCUAUUGAAGGAAAACAGCCUUUUCUGAGAACAUCAACCUGACGCUCUUGAUAGCCACACGUCAUUGUUUGAAAACUGCAUGCGUCUCGUCAAGUCGACCUCCUCGCUUUAAAAAACCUGAAAUAUUUCCACACGUUUGAUUUGUGUUUUUCUUUUUAGUGCAUUAAAUAUCUCAUCGCUGCUACCGCCAUUCUCGUUUGCCUCCAUAUUUGUUGUGCACAACACCUGCUUGCGUCAGCGCCUGAGGAUGCGAUGGUGUAUUCAGGAAACCUCGGAAAAUGGGAUAGAGAAUAGAAACAUGAAAUAAUGGAUCUAACAAAGAGAUUUACCGGUGCAGACAGGCUAGAAGAGACGCACAGUAAAUUAUAUCCGACGCUCCUCAAAUCUACCGGUGCAGUCGCAUCGCAAACAUUUGUAUCCGACCACUGAUAUGAAUCUGUGAAUCUCGACAUCCCGAGUGUGUCAUACACUCACAUCCAUACAGUCACACACUCAGCGGCUCGGCGCCAUCCUCUCAAGAACGUUUAAAGACAGCUCAGAGUUUGCACUUUCCCAGCCGAGCCUCUCUGCGGUCACUGAGCCAGAGGAAAAACAACACAUGCAUAUAAACGGGAAAAUAAGACAUAAAACAGAGAGUGUGAACUGUGGAGGAAUAAAAACACACACCUUUAAAAGGACAGAGACGGCUUUAGUCCACUCACAGAUUCGUCUCCUUAAAUCGUGAAAUGAAGCUCUACACGAGUUUUCUAAUUUAAUUUUCUCGCUGCUCCAACAUUGAUGGAAAUUCUGAGAUUUUCCGAGUGUUUGUUUUCUCAGAGCGAGCCCUCGUCCCCGGGUUGACUCGGCUUUUUCAGGUUCAUGCUUUUCUUCAGCUUUAUCUCCUUUUUUAUGUCUGUAUUCUGUUCCUCUUCAUUACUGUCUCCUGGAGGCCUUAUUUUGACACUCCGAAUACAUCUGAGAGCUGAAGAGGUCAACAAAGAGGCUUUUAAAUUCAAAUUCUCUCGGUACGGGAAACACAAACCGGAGCAACAAGUGGCUCAGAGCUGGACCCCGGCCUGUGAAGUGGGGCGCAGAGUUGAAGGGGAGCCCUGCAGCUCUGCUCCCACACUACAGCUGACCUGUGAAGCCGCACAUGUUCAUUAUGUGUGGUUAGUGUGUGCCGCCGCCGGCAGCAGCAGCUCCUGCUCCUCUGCUGCUGAACGGAGCCGAGCCGCUGCAUGCAUUAGUGCUGUAUUGAUAAAAAGGAUGCUAAUGCCUCAGGGCAGCAUGAUCCGGGCCUCAAUACGAUCCGGGGUCGAUGCAAUCUAUAGGACCAGGGACAACAGGCUUUCCCAUAGGGGAUACUCUGUGUGUGUGUGUGUGAGGUGAACUGAGCCUCGUAAUGUUAUUCAGCAGCUGGUACUAAAGGAUUUCCUGCAGGAACAGAGCCCACUCUAGGAGAGGAUUUAGAGUAUUAGUCACUGUAUGAACCUCAAACUUUUAUCUUUAUGUUAAUCAGGUUCAGACUAACGAAUACGAUCAAUCUGUUAGCCGCCUUUCUUGUGGUAAAUACAGGAGUCUGAUUAUAAACAAGAGAAACAGCAGAGACGACCACAGAGGACGAGCACACGUAGUUCAUGAGACGCAGCUUCCUGUUCACAAUGUGGCAAAAAUGUGAGUUUAGGUGAAAAAAACAGUGGUAGACCAUCAUCUGUAUCCCCCGAAGGACACUACUGCGCAGGGCGGAGUCGCGUGCAAAAUUUUGAGGGUUUCACGUGUCAGAUCGAGUGUUUUUUAUGUGCUUCUAACUCAGUUAGUCCACGCUAUACAAACUCAAAACUUUCAUACUGAACCCCAGACAUUUGAAGGAGUUUUUAAAUUCCCCCGGACAGCCACAAAAAAAGGGGAUUUGUCCGGGUAAAAGAGGACGUACAAUCAAUUAUCACGAUGUAUUAUUUUCCUAUCAGCUGAUAUGGAUCAAUAUCAGGAUAUAAAAAUCUUACAGUGUUUAUUGGUCUCAUGUCUUUUCCAACACAAUAAUCUCCUGCAUCUGUGAGGUCUUUGUGUCUCUUUGGCGUUUUGUCGUAAGGCGUCGCUCUAGAGAAAGCCGACUGAAUGGUCGUCUGUUUCAGGCGCCAUGGGCUCCUCGCUCCUCUCGGGGUUGUAACCUUUGGCGUUGCGCGUGCUCUGCGGCGUGGCGCUGCUUCAGGUGGUGAAAAAGAUUUGAGGUAUUCCCCGACUUUGUGAGAACAUGUACUCGACAUAAUUUACAGUCCACAUUACUCUGCUUCAUGUCCGACCUCCAAAAACCAAAAUACCUCCACACCACCGACGUUUUCCUAACGCCAGUGUUGUGGUUGACAUUGAUGUGGUCAUCUGUUGAGCCUUCAUGGUCAUUUCUGUCGGGGGUAGCACUCAUUUUCUUUGUUUCUCACCAACAGUGCUGUCGGCUUCACCUGUUAAAGUGCUAUGGUUGGGUGGAGCUGCUGUCUGCUACGACGCUGCAGUUGGUUGAUACUUGGUUCUAAUUCAGAACAUGAUUGGUUCAGUCCCGGAGAAACUCCCCUUUUCAUUGGCUGUUCGUAUAGUCUACCAGAAAAUGCCAGAAUGCCAGGGAAAUCAAUUUUAAAUAUAUCGUUAUUGUCUUAUCGCCCAGCCCUGCGGUCACCCUAACUAAACUUCAGAUUGGUGAUUAACUGUCAGAUAAAAAUGAUGAGAGGCAGAAAGAAACGAGAAACUGAGAGGAUGAGACAUCUACCAAAAGGGAAGAAAACAGGCACAAAGCAACGCAACCUAUAAAUGUGAAUAACAAUUAAGAGAGUACAGAUGACAUUAGUCAUAUCAGCUGAUGCGCUGUGACCUGCCUGAACUAACACUCUACUCAGUUUUUUCUUAAGUGAACAUUCACAGUCUUUAAGCGUCGCUGCUUUAGUUUCAUGACUUUGAAAAGGUGCAGAAUCUCCUCAUAAUAUUCUCCCCACAGUGGUCAAUAAAGCCUCAUCUUUUCUUUCUUAAUGGUGCAUUAUGGGUAUUUUAAUCUAAACUGAUGGCGUUUUUUAAGUACAUUGAUUGAGCUGCUGAAAAAAAGACAAAAAAGACCUGUAAUGAUUUAAGAGAAAGAAAAUUGAUCAGUUACAUCCAUAAAAGUGAGAGAGCAUCCUCCAUUACACCAGAUUCACCCUCAUUUACACCAUUAUUCUGAGCGAUCUGUCAACGGCUCUGCCCGAGGACCACGCUGAAGCACGCCGUUCCAGCAGAUAUUCAUAAACCGAAGCUCACUGUAAGUGGACGGACCCGGAUCCUCAAAGAGUCCCGGCUCCGUGUCUCCUUGACUUUAAUCGUAACCACAGUGAGUCUCAUUAAUGCGACAUUAUGCUGAUUUGUAGGUUUUACAUUGGCAGUCUUUCAUUGUGUUUGACCGGAUUCAGCAGCGCGCCUCUAAUUGCGGUCCUCGGGGGAUAAUGAAGCUCUGCUGAACAUGGUAACAGGAUACAACAGUGGAUAAAGACACUUCUACAGCCGUCUCUGUUUUCAGCCCUCUGGUGAUGGUCAUUUAGAAGUCUUUGGACUGUGAGCUUCAUUGUUAUCCAGAGCAGGAGAGACAAUCAAAUAAGUGUCUUCAGAUCUGGACAUCGAACCCCGGAGAUGUUGGCUGAAGAAGAGCAGAGUUGAUCUGCACACCUUUAGAUAGUCCGGUUUAAUCAGACAAAAGGUUUUAUUUCUGAACGAAGAGUUUAAAGAUGAAUGUUGCCGUCUGAGGAGCCAUAAACAAACCUCAACAAAAAAGGACUGAACACAAUUCACCUACUCUCUUCCAGUAGCAAAAUGGUUCAUAUGGUGAUUUUUACUUCAAGGAAAUGAUCAUAAAUGUUCUUCCUUGAGCUGUGGCACCCCGCUGUAGUCCAUAAUGGACUGGCCUGAGGUCUCACUACAAACAAGCGUCUGCUGGAAGAGAGUAGGUGAGUUGUGUUUAGUCUCUUUGCUAAAGAAAUGAGUCAAAGGUAAAAAGAUGUUUGGUGUCUAGUACUAUGUCUGUGACCCUAUAUGUACUAACCUCAGUAGAACAUGGUGUAGUUCCGUUCAGUAACAGAACCUCAUUGAAAAAUUAGCUGAUUUAACUUUACUGUGCUCUUGUUCAGAUAUAUUAACUCGACAGCACAUAAAUCCAUACCUGUUAACAAAAUCAUGAUUUUAUUGAUAAUUCGGCUCAAUAAAAACACCUUUACCUUUUCAUUUUACUACAGUAGAAGUUUAUUGGCCCAGCUUAUAGACUACAGAGGUGGAGAAACGCCCCCGCUUAAGUUUAUGUUUUCUAAGGAGUUAGAACAACUCUGAAUAAAGUACUAUGUCUGUGACCCUAUAUGUCCUGUUGAUGAAGUUAGGUGCUGUUCUGAGCAUUAUUUGUGGCUAUAGAGUGGCGUUUUGGUUGAGGGCGUGGCUCUGUGUAUUGCUAUCCUGCGGUCGUUACUAAAGUUGGUAUAACUAGAGAAGGAAGCGGUCGACAACAUUCGUCUCUGGAGGGGGGUCUAACUCGGUGUUACGGUGUGUUUGACCCUAAAUUAAUUUUAUGUGUAAUAUCCCUUUAAGACCCUCAGUAUUCUGUGAUUAUUGAGCUGCUGCUGUUAAAUUAAACUGCUCUGAGAGUCAGGUCCUUUGUUGUGUAUGAAGAGGUUUUUUUUAUAUCUUCAGGGAGAAAUAAGUGCUGACCGAGUCCCUGAGAUGUUCAGUCGUGUCCUCGGCUUUUCAAAGCGUCCCUCAGCUCAAGUUUAACGCUGACAACCUCUUCAGAUUUGGAUGGACUCUGAGGACCUGAUGGUCAUAAUAAUUUAGUGUUCAUAAACAUGAAAACAAACAGAGAGGCAUGAGGAUCCCUUUGGAGGACUAAACUGAGAGUGGACCAUAAUCCUGGAGGUUAGUGAAAUCCUCACUCCUCAUCUGUGACCCGGUUUCUACCAAAGUGGUCCUGGUGUUGGUUCAGGGUUAAAGCUGUCAGUAAAUACGACUCGUAUUUCCCAGAGAGUUUCUGCAGAGUUUGUAGGUACGAGUAAAAACAUAUUAGCCUUAAAGUUUGUUUGAAAACAUGAUAUCAGCAAAUAUUUAGGCUCCACAGUCAGGAUCCUGAUCAUCUACAUCCACUCAAACAUCACACAUUAAACAUUGAGGUACCGAGCCCCGGGGAAAUCAGUGAGACCUGAAUGAUGUCAGGACUGUUCGUUAAAUUCAGCAAAAAAAACCUCAGAGAAAAGUGACGAAGUCUGCAGAGAGUUAUCGUAGAGACAAGUCUGAAAACAAACGUCUCCCCGUCAGUAUAGGUCAGAAAAUCUGAUUUACAAUCAGAUUAGAUUCUGAUCCGAUUGUUGGAGGUAGUCUACGUUGACUGACAAUACGAUUGAUGCGACAUACAGACGACUGACUGGAUCGUUUUGGUAAAUAGACUAGAUUAUUCGUUCGUACGUAUGGUCACAUAACAACGCCCGUAGGAAACAGGAGACCCAAAGGAAGGGGCAAGCUGACCAUUCAAGGUAGCGAAUUCAAGUACUGUCUUCUUCUCUUGUUCUCCAAAAACGUCUUCAGGACGAGGAACUGAUGAGACCGUAGAGCCGCAGAUAAAAGAACCACAACACGAGAAGUAAAACACGACGUUGAUCCAUUUUCCAGAUGUAAAGAAGAAGCUGAAAACAGAAGUUCAGCUCUUCUUCACUCUCACCUUUGAGGAGUUUUGCAGAUGUCGUACGAGUUUAUCAAUCAAAGAUUUACUCAAUUACACUUAUUUUCACUCAUAUUGAGGAAAACUUUGAAUGUAAACGCAGCGACUGUCAGGUCAGUAUAGAUUAAGAAGUUUUACGUCUUAAAGUAACUUCCAUGCUUUUUUGUGCGUCGACACUCCGACACAUCUUCAGUCAUGACAACAGAAACACUGAAGACUUCUGCAGAAUUAGAGAAACUGUACUUUUAAGUUUUUGGGGGUUUAAUUCUCGCCACAAUCAGCAUCCCUCCAGCCGCUCAUGUAAGGGGUCCCAGAAGGACUUGGAAGGACUGGGAGCCGGUUUUGUGGAGGUCAUGUUGCAGAGAAGUCCUUAGUCCCUGGCCCCAAAGCGUCCCUGAAUCGGCCUGGGUAUAAAAGUGGUAUCUAAGCAUGAUCUAAUACUUCCUCUUCUCUGGUGGUUAAAUGAAAAUGAGACCUUGUUUCGUCUCCCUGGAAAACGCUGGCAGGAGAAAACCUGAUUGGUUUAUUCUCAUUAGCUGCUGCCGGUGGCUGGAGGGCGACAAAGUGGUGGAUAUUUCCAUUUUCCUGCCUCUGAUCAUUAAAUUCCAUCGCCGGCGGAGAUACUCUUCAUCCCCUCGCUGGUAUGCAUUUAAUUUCGUCUUGGUAUGAAGAGUUUUGUAAGCUCUGUUUGUUCAAGGAUGCCAUUAGCCAGCCCCAAAGCUUCUGGCCGGUUUGAUCCGGUUUUACACCUGAGAGCCGCCCGGCGUGAACACAAUCAUCCUCUUCUUGUUGACCACGGCGCAGCGGGGGAGUCUUCCCUUGCUCCAGGCGCCCUGACAGUGGUUAGUGAAAGAGGCAGAGAGGGAGGUUUUCCCUGGUCCACCUACACGGGUCUGUGGGGGGGACUUUACAGCAGGGUUUUACCAAACUGAGGAGGUCUUUGAGUUCCUCUUUUACACGGUACAGUGUUGGUUUUUUAAGAGAGACUUUUAAAGGUUUGGACUUUACGAUGAAGGAGAGAGUCCGUCCACGUGCUGCAGAAUAAUUAUUAUGGAGUAUCUAAAAGUAUAAAGACAUGUAGUUACACUAAAUUUACAUCCUGAGCAAAAUGUUUAAAGCCAAUCAAAUGAAUUCCUCACAAUUUCUGCCUGUAGGAGUAAACCAGAGCGAAUCCUUUACACAGUCACGGGCAAAAAUCUACUGACAUGGAAGAAUCUCUCCCCCGCCCUGAAAAACUCACCUCUCUGUGUGUCGCCGUCUGUCGGCGGAAACAACACAGCAGCGAGCAGCACGCCGCUAAACGAGCGCGAGUCGUCGUUCUUUUAUAAAAGUGGAGAGAGUAAAAAUAAAUAAAGAUGUCAGCUGUAGCGAGGAUUCAGAUACUUUUAAAGACAUCAAAUAUCAUAUUUCUUUAAAUCGACUGAAAUUAAAUCUUCUUACAGGAAAGUUUAAACACGUGUUUUAAUGUAAAGGCGCCAUAAUGACCUGUUUUAUCUCAGUCAACCCAGAGUCAAAGGCGGCAGUUCCACUCCCGACCAACAUGCCAGGCUCACGGCUGAGCUCAACUGAACCGAGAAAAGAACGAAUCAGGUCUCAGAGUGAUUCAGUUCACGUCGUUCACUCAGCAGGUCUUUUGAACGGAUCGUUCAUGAACGACACAAACACUAAAAAGACAGUGAAGCUCCUGAUCAGGUACGUAAACCUCUUAAAGAGACAGAGUCAAACAGACAAAACUCAGAUUAUUUUUUCUGCUCUCAGUUUUAAAGAAAACUCAGAUCUGAUUCGUCAGUGUGAAACAGUCGGACUGAGAAGAAGAGCAGCCUUGAGAAAACUGAGGAGAUAAUAUAUAAUCAGCUGAUGAAGGACGACAGACAAAGACUCUAUUAUCUUUGCUAUUCCUGCGUGUUGUUUCACAGCAGCAGGUCCGUCUUUCGCGGCUCGGCAGCCCUGAAUAAACGAAGCUCGAUGUUUGAAAGACGACCCUUGACCUUUGACAAAGAAAGGAAAACAGAGGCAGAGAGGAGGAAAGGAAGAUAAAUAUAUAUAUUUAUUCCCUGUUUCUUUGAGCUGAGGAGGAAGUCUGGAGUGUUGUCCUCUCUUUGGUCAAAUAUUUUCACAUGACAUCGAACACCCUCCAUUUUCAGGUCAAGAGACUCUCGCCGUAUCGACAUCCACAUUUUCUCCUCUCCGUACCCACGUGACGCUGCGGUCUCACAGCUUACCCACUACUUGUGAUCCCCUUUAAAAAAAAAAAAAACAGCAACAACAGCCUGUGGUCUUUAGAGGAGGUCUUUUGUGAGGCAGUCCUUCAGAGUGUCAUGGCCACUCCACAUCCAAGGAGGAGCUGGAGGAGCUGGAGGAGCUGGAGGAGUGGAAUGCUUUAGUGAUCUCAGGAGACAGAAAAGGACAUCUUUGUUUCAGGUUUCCUUCAUAUCACUGUCACACAAACACUCCGCUUCUAGUUGUUUUGUUCCCAUGGUGACGGGUUACUCAACUCGCUGCCAAAUCACCAUAACAACAAGCUAAAAAAGGGUGUCAGGAAAAGGACUCCUUCGUGCCUAAGUACGGGUUCGUGCGCAAGAUCUUCAUGCCAGCAUAAAAAAAACAGUUUAUUCUUGGAGGUGGAUGAUAAAGAGACGUAAAAGUCUCUGUUUUAUAAUUAACCUCAUUUAAUUUGAUCACAGCAGAGACUCACGUUUGAGACAAACUUCUGACUGAGAAACACUUUUAGACGUCAGAGCAGGGGCGUGUCCAGAGAGGUUUGACGGGUGGCAUGGGCCCCUUGAAAUCUGGCCACCCCAGGUGUCACCACCAAAACCGUACACCGGGGUUGGCGAUUCUCCUCAAGGGAAAAUGAACAACUUUGGUUUUUCUUCAACACACUGAAAAUACUCUGACAGAUGUGUUACGAGCUAAAAUAGUUAGCAGAGUGAUUAAAGUGUCUAGUCGUGGUAUAAUUACUAUAGUGGACCACAUGAAUCCAUCAUAUUUCAAGCUACUGGGUCUAAGUUGUUCCUCAAAACCAGGCAGCAAAGAUGUGAGGGGCAGAGUGUUAGCUUUGCCGCUUAUUAGCCAACCGCCAAACAUGUUUUUGUUUCAAGUACAAGAAAAUACAAAGUUGUGUUUUUCUGUGUUUAUCUCAGAUUGGCAGGAAAAGGAUAGAAGCAUUGCAUUGUGGGAGAGUUUAAUUCAAAUUAUACUAAAGCGUCUUUAACUAAAUUCAUCAUACAGAGUCGGUGAAUCUCAGUGUCUUCUCUGUGAACUACGACAGGAUGAACCCUAACCCGUGUUUGACGACAUGUUGACCCGUUCGAUUUCUUACACGUCAGCUGCCAAACCCUGAAGUUUUGUUUAUUCUAUUUCAUGUUUUAUGUGCUGAAAUUUACAGUCUACCCGUCUUAAAAACAGUUUAAAUGCGGCUGGAGAGAAAAAUGACUCCGGGUCAGUUAGCAGCACAGAGUAGUGUUGUGUCAUUCGCGAACGAUUCGUUAAAAAGAACCGAAUCUAUUGAGUGAACGUACUGAACCGAAUCAGUUCCUCUAGUGAUUCGUUCGUUUCUCACAAGUGAGAAACAGCAUUGCCAGGCCAGCAGUCAGCGAACGAGGAACCACAUGAACCGACCCCUGAAUCACUCGGUGAACGAAUCACACAUUGAACUACACUCUCUGGAAUCAUUUUUAUCGCACAAAACUAAAUACAGCUAAACUUCCACCACAACAACUUCGUACAACAGGACACAGCAUGUAACAAGUAGUAGAUUAAACCGGCAGCAUCCUGUCAUUGCAGCGGUUUGUGAGGGAACGGUUCAUGUUCUGUUUAAAUUCUUCUAAACGUUCAGUGAACGAAUCACUCAAAAGGACAGUACACUUCAAACAUCAUGACCUUUGCCAAAGCAACGCAGACAAACUCUCUCGUCUCCCAGAAACUAUGAUCUGAACUGAAUCCUGAGACGUUCAGCUCUGUAUCAGUUCAGGAGGUCGGAGUCGCAGGCUCCUCCCGCCGAGCUCUGAAUGAUUCGGUGAUUCAGUGAACGAAUCUUUUGGAUGAAUCUUUUUAGUGAACUGAUUGUAGUGAUUCAUUAAAUCCAAAAGAACUACCAUGCCCAUCAUGAGCACAGAGGUCUGUUUUCAGCAGACCUAACACGGCUGUUAGCAACAGUAUCAUCGAGGAGAAUCAGUCAAAGUCUGGAUAAACAUGAGAAGUAAUAAGUUUAUUUUACUUAUUAACUCUGACUGUACUUCUGUGUUGUUGUUGAUACCCGUGUCUGGGCUGACCCAGCUGAACAGUAUGAAAUCACUCCUGCUUGAAUCUUUGCGUGGACUUGUCGAUAUUUCUCGGUGGUUUUGAGCCGUUUGAAGAUGUAUCCUCAUGAGAUCCUGUCUGAAGGCCAACUUCAAACCUUGAGGAUUGAUUGAUCUGUAUUCAACAGAGACGGAGGUGAAAUAUCAACGAUUGGUUCUUAAAGACCUAGACCCAAACAAACAGAACUUAAACCCGUGCGGUUCUUCAGUGGACUCAUCUUUCCUCCAUAAAACUACUCUGUUAUCUGAGAACCGAGGUUUCUCAGACACAGACUAAGACUUGUCGGAGUUAAUCUGAAGAUCUGAUUUGAAUGAGACGCGGCGAAGCGUGGUGAUUUUGGUUAUAAUCUCCACGCUGUUCGGCUUCACCUAAACGGAGCCGGACAGACGGACGGAGGGAUGCUGCCGUUUCUCUUCCCUCUUUUGAGAAUAGUAAAGGAGCGUUCAGCGAAGACAAAGCUGAUUUAUUAUGUGCAUAAUAUCACACACUCUCCAAAUCUGUGAACAGUUUGGAGUUCAUUUGUUGUGACACUCUGAAUGAGCCCAACAAAGAUGUAUUCAGGAGGCCAGCUUUUCACUGUAGUGUUAAAUAUACCUCAGCAAAAUGUGCUGUAAACAAUAUUUGCAUAGCCUGGAGCUCAGGGGGGGAGAGCGAUGCGGAAAAACACCCAGAGUGUCGUUAUUUUCUUAAUGGAGAUCAGGUUUGAGAUUUUCACCCACAAAUGAGACAAAUUUAGCCAAACAGUUUCUAAGUGAGGCGCUGACACGGGUCCCAUCAUUCAUGAAUCAACAAAGAGGACGGAUAAUGAAUUCAGAACAGACAACAUUAUCACUUUGCACUAAUGACAACAGCAGACCCAUCUCCACCAUUAACAAUGAGUGGCACGACCUCUGACUUCCUCUGUUUUCCAUCGGCUGGUCUGAAAACACGAUGAUGUGCAGGUAGAUUGAUAUCAUUACGUUCUUAUUAAUAAUGUAGAUUAACGGCUGUGUGAGAAAUCUUAUUAUAGACUCCACAGCUGCAGGGAAAUACGCACAGAUGAGAUCUGUGUCCAUGUUUGUAAACUUUGGAAAGAUGGAAAUUUUCACUGUUUUAAUUUUACAUAAACAUAUCUGCAAAACGAAACUAGCGUUUAAUCCUGCUGACCCGACACUAACCCGAUAUUUACAUCUUUGUGGGCUCGGCUGUAAAACUGAGUUAACGAUAAAACAAAGCGACUUAAAAACAGGUGGAAGGUAAAGAACGACGUCUCACUGCCUCUGCGAUAAUCCACCAUGUCCUUAUUUCUAGAGAGGUAACAAGGUAACGCUAAAAUGUGAUAUUUUUAACAUAUUUCAACAACACCAUGAUAAUAUUGAUAACCAUGAUAAUUUUGGUCACAAUAAUCGUGAUGUGAAAUUUUCAGGUCUUAUUUCUCUCCUCAGAUUAAACCAACCCUGGACAAACGGAGGUUCGAUAAUACUCGACACAGUCUUUGUUUUUCUCUCUUUUUUUUUAUCCCCUUUUUAUUGUUUUAACUAAUCCAACAGUUUUGGCUCGUAUCUCACAGUUUUCUGCCAAAUACAAGUUUCAGCCAAAGACGAUUAGAUUAACUUUGCAGUAAUUGGACCACUGUUACUUCUUCUCUUAUGUUCAGGCUUUAAACCUGAAGAAAUACACCUGGAGCCUCCGUCUAUACUCUGCAUGUUUCUUACAGAUAAGGACCAAAUAUUUCAGUAUCUGUGAACUACUAACAGCUCAAACUAUAACCUGUAUAAAACACAAAAAAACAACAUCAUGAAAGUUGUUUAAGUGUUCAGAACUUUGCCAUUAAACACCAAUCUGUCAGUGGUACAGACUCACUGACGCAAACAGGUGAAUAACAACCACUGGGGGGUGAAUUUUCAGCAGCUUUGCUCCACCUUAAAGUCAUGGUUGACGAUUGUAGAGAUUAGUAAUUAUUAUCAACCUCGUUUCCAUGGUGAUCAUGGUCCUUUAGUGCGAUCUCCACAAAGUGAAGAGAAACAAGAACGGAAAAAAUCUGUUCACCUUAUCAGGUGCAGGGCUGCAAAAAUAUUGACCAAUGGGAGCCAUCCACCUCCUAUUGAUCAAUCUCCUGCUCCGCCUCUCCAUCCGAUCACCUUAUGGGCGGAGUCAAAGAGGAAAUGUGACCAAGCGAGGAAUCUAACGUGAAUAACCAUCGGGUCAUCCUUGGAGCGGUGGAGAAAACAGACGCUGAGACAGCAGAGUUUUAGUUGAACAGGUCAUUUUUAUCUCCUUUUAUCGUGGCUCAUGUUACAUAAAUAACUCUGAUUAGUCUCUGACAUGUCAACCCGGUAGCUGUCCAGGCAGCUGCAGACGGCGCUCGCCAACAGAGCUGGCGUUUACUGCCGCUAGUUACUAACAAUCCGACAUGGUGAAUCCUGUUUGAAGCUAGCGUAGGAUCUUCUGACAGAGGGGGUGUGUCCUGGGGAGGGGGAUACAGGUUCAGGGGGCGGAGUUAUUGUGGGGGGUGGGACGCUUUUUUAAAAUCUGCGGCUCAGAUGGUCGACCAGGACUUGAAGUAAUGGAAACCCUGUAAAAGCUGCUGCCUUAAUAAAGAGGUGAUCUGCAGUAAUGACUUAUUUCACGCUGAUUUGAUCGGGGUAAACUCUGCUGUGAGGUCGUGUAAAUGUUUCAGAGAGUACAAACGCAUUAUCAUCUCAUUAAGACGGAUCUUUAAUUAACUUAGAGGAGGUAAUCUGAAGCAGGGCGGACAAACAAAAGAGCGUCCUCUUCUCCAACCUCUCUGUAACUUCAGGUUUGUUGUUUCUUUCCUCUAACGGGGCGUAUGAACGGAAACAAUCCAGAGUCGCCCACUGGGAGAGAUUUCCUGAUCUUUCUUCAGUGAUUUGGCGGAUAAAAGGAAUCAAGCAGCGGGAUCAAAUAUUCACGAACACGUGGAGGCUCAUGAUUUAUUGACUGAGAGCAAAGAACAAUAGAGUCUGUGGUUUCUGAUGCUAAAAGCAUUUAGAGUGAAUGGAAGUGUUUUUACGCUCUGAAAAACCAGAGAGGAAACAGUGACGGUGGAGCUCUCCCUCCAGAGCCAUUUUGCUGCUACGCUACAGAGGCUAAGGUUAACGCUCUGCUCCAGAGGCUAAUGGAACGCACUGGAGCUCGCCACUUACCGUAGAAGCACGGGCGCUAACGCUCACUGUCCGGGGAGAUAUUAUGGCUUUGGGUUUGAAAAAUGAAUCGAGGGUUAGAGGACUGUUUGUUUAGAGAUCAAAGAGGCGAGACCAAAGAACAGAGGGAUGACGGAGAGCGCUGCCAACAUGGACGCCGCUAAAGUGGAGGUCGUGAACAUUAGAUUGAGCUUUGUUCUCUAAUGGAGAAGUCUAGGGUUGGUUUUAGACCGUUUAAUGGAAUAAAGACUCACCUGAGCGGCUCAGCGGGAGGCUGUAGAGACACUAAUGGUUACUUUACUGGGGGGAGGGGGGCUCUCAGUGAGGGGAACUCCUGCUGUGUGUGUGGAUCUGACUGUUUGGUUUCCACGAGAGGAGGACUUACCUUCUAAUCCAGGCAAACACACACAUGCUGGUAUAGACUGAUCAGUUUAUAAAGUCUAUAUGCUGAAGGGAGAGACAUGAAAUUAAUGUGAAGACGGGUUGAACUGGUCUCCAUCUCUCUGACAUGUCUUCAUGACUUCAUGCAGCAUCUUUAGAUUAUUUCAGGUCAGUGUUCACCUUCUGCAAACCUCCGUCCACCAUUGAGAGAAACACGUUAACUGAGCCGACGCCCACUUUUUCCAACCACGCCAGGACCAAAGAGAACCACCGCUAAAUACUGGAUCUAUUUUAGGCUGGGCAAUAAAACGAUAACAAUAUUUAUCGAGAAUUAAAUUUCCCUCAAUAUCUGUAUGAAACAUGAUCAAUAUCCUUUUCAAUAGUCGUCAUUCUGACAUGUUUUGGUUGACUAUAUGAACAGCCAAUGAAAAGGGGAGUUUCUCCGGGUCUGAACCAAUCAUGUUCUGAAUUAGAACCAAGUAUCAACCAACUGCAUCAUAGCAGACAGCAGCUCCACCCAACCAUAGCACUUUAACAGGUGAAGCCGACAGCACUGUUGGUGAGAAACAAAGAAAAUGAGUGCUACCCCCGACAGAAAUGACCAUGAAGGCUCAACAGAUGACCACAUCAAUGUCAACCACAACACUGGCGUUAGGAAAACGUCGGUGGUGUGGAGGUAUUUUGGUUUUUGGAGGUCGGACAUGAAGCAGAGUAAUGUGGACUGUAAAUUAUGUCGAGUACAUGGAGUAAGGAGCCCAUCAGCUGAAACAGACGACCAUUCAGUCGGCUUUCUCUAGAGCAACGCCUUACGACAAACCGCCAAAGAGACACAAAGACCUCACAGAUGCAGGAGAUUAUUGUGUUGGAAAAGACAUGAGACCAAGAAACACUGUUAGAUUUUGAUAUCCUGAUAUGAAAAAAACAUGUUGUGAUAAACUUUUUCCCAUAUCACCCAGCCCUUCAUCUAUUCUACCCAUGUCCUUUUCUAAGGGGACGUUUGCAGCAGCUGCAUGUGGAAGUGUCUCUGAAAGUGACUCAGCAUGAGGAGAACACUGAUUGUUGUUCUUGUUGUCUUUUUCUUGUUUUUACUGAGAAUAAAUGAUAGAUAUCAAAUAAAAACAACAACAUAAUCUGAUCCAGGAGAACUCCUCGCAGUGGAAGCUGCUAUCUUUAUUUGUCAGGGUUGGGCUGAAAUCUUCAAACUUAAACUAAACACCUGUCUGAUCUAUUAGUUUGGUAAUUUGAUGCUUUACCCUCGAUUAUCGUCAUUCUGCCGUGUCCAGACUCCCAUGUUUCCCACCAUCAUGUCUGAAUGGAGACCUUUGACUGGUCUGUAGACAUAGACCUGCAGGAGAAUAUUUGGAGGUGGGUUUGUCAGUCUGAUGUUUGACUCGUUAGAAAUGAAGGAGAACAAACUCAGACAGAACUCAGGAACUGCACUGUCAUUGUGUCUGGCAGACUCUUACGUUGGAUCCAGCCCAAAAUAAAACCACAUAUUUAUUUAGAAACUCCUUAAAGCUGAUUGAUUCCAACACAAAACAAGAUUUGUUUCAGCACAGCACAAAAAAAAACACAUCAGAGUCUGGAUCUGAACUUCUCUAUGGAUUAGAAUGUCUCUACCCAAGUUGACAGCACCCUGCCAAAAACCAAUAGAUCAUCAUCGACGGCAAAGAUAAACUAAAAGAAAUAAUGUGGAGGCUGCCGCCGCCAUCGCUGCCGCUCAGAGAAAUGUGUGGGGAAAGGUUGCCAGUGUUCGCUUUCUCUCCCAGAUAUGAAGCCUCUCCUCUCUGCUGCUGAAUAAACAGAGCUCGCUGUUUUGUCAGAAGGAUUACUCGGGCUGCAGAGGGCUCUAUCACAACUCCCCCCUGUCAUGGUGAUGAAACAUGUGAAUGGAAGAUUAGUGGUGGCACUGUUGCUUGUCUGCAGACAUCUAAGAGAGCUGGCAGAAGAAAUGAAGAGAAACAAGAUGGACGGACACUCUGAGCAUCCCAGAGAGGCCAGAGCUCGGUCUACUGGACCAAACGUCUGCAUGCAGAUGUGGAUCAUAGAGAUGUAAGAGAGUGUGUGUGCAGAGUACAAGAGUUUCUGGAUGAUUUACACCUGAUUCAUUACUUCAACUAGAGUGGAGGAAUCUGCUCAGGUGUAAGGAGAGCCGCUCGAACGUCACACUCGUGUACGUCAUCCUCACAAUCGUACAGAGAGGAAGCAUCCAACUCAUUUAGCAGUUUAUUCCAGAUGAAGGAUUUAAAGUCUGAGUUAGCCGCCCUCAAACUUUCAGGUCCACCACCAUCGUCUCAUCAUAAAACCAGGACUGGUCCACAGGUAGGUUUUGGGGGUCUUUUUAGAGGCCUUUUGCAUGUUCUUGGAUGUCACGAAAAGGCCGUCACUGCCUAUCGUAGCUGAUCGUAACCAUUCAAGUUAACGUGUCAAUUUACACCGACUUCUUUCUGUUCCUCUGCGGAUCGCCGGACUCCUCAGCUGAUCACAAGAGUUCUAUUUUUUCUGGACGCCGGAGCAUGGCGGAUAAAUUCAGCACAGAUUAACCCGUGCUGGAAAGGAAGUCGGGCACAGACACAAAAUAAAACAUCCGGCUUCUUUUCAAAAUAAAACACUCCGUGUUUCAGGAGGAUCGUAUUUCACACCAUGCAAACGGGCGGAGACGAACAAGUGAAAGGUUUUUAGACGUCAUUUCACCCCGAUGACACCAUGGAUGAGGAGAUGCUGAUUCUAGAAGUCUAGAAGUAGAUUUCCUCCUCUGGAAGGACACAAUCUACUGCUUAUAUGUCUAUGUGUCUGUCUUUAGCAAGACGACUGGUUAUCGUACGAUUGCACGUGAACCAGCAGGUUCUUGUGAGUUCUCAUGAUUCCCGCUGUCCGUAAUCCACCACAAAGUUUGCCUCACAAACGGAUACGGUAGGAAUUGGCGUACGGCAAAAAUGAAAUAGUGGAAAUCACAGUAACACCAUUUACAGAUGUUUCCGAGUGUUAAAGUACAGCUGUCUGACUGCUGCAGAGUCAGGUCCAGAUCCAGAUCAGUCAGGAUUAUAAAGAUCCUCUAAUCUCAUCCUGUAAAUCACUUAGUAAGAAAAUAAGUGUUAGGCUGAGUGCCGUUUCCUCAGUGUGAAACUGCACUCUGGUCCACCAUCAAUCAGAACCUGUCUGUUGAACCCUGAGGCCUCAAAUCUAUCUCCUCAGCCCGGCCUGACACACUGAAUACAGUUGCAGAUGUAUAGGAAGUGUUCAGAGAAACAGGUACUGAAGAGCCAGCAGCAGCUGAGUGGACUGAGAUGGAGAUCAGAAGGUUUGCGGUGCUGAACGCUCACCGUGAAGCCCUGAAGGCAAAACUGGAUCCAGUCAGUCACCAUCCAGUCCGCUUAAAGCGAGCUGUCACAGUCCUGAGCCGUUCUCCAGAACUGUUUAAGGAGCUGCUGUUUAUAAGGCUGACAGGGGGCUCAUUUAUAAAGGCAGAGGUGGUGGGCCGAGCCGCCGGGAGACUUUAGAGCGCACGGAUAAGUCGAGUCCAGGUGAAAACCACGUUUAGGCCAGAACAGCAUCAGAAAACUGUUAGAUUAAGUCUCUCUGUGGGAACAUAUAAACCCUCAUUUUAAUGGACUGUUGUACCUUCAAAUUAAAGCCUUUUACUAAUUUUUACAAUUUUAACAAAUUCUUCUUUGAACCUCUGAGGACUAUCACACUGAUAUCUGGUGUUUUUAUGUCUAUAAAUGCUCCAAAUCACUCCAAGAACCACCAGGACAAACGUUUUCUUCAAACUACUAUCAGCAGUUUUUGGCUGGCCGAGAAAAAGACGGUAUUUAUGAAGAAAAUGAAAUGAAAAAAAUGAUUACACUUUUUUAUUUAGUUCAGAAAAAGUUAAGAACAAAUGUCCUCGACUAAACCAGUCAUUACGUUCCCACGCACAGUUUAAUCGGACUAAGCUCAUAAUUCGCUUUUUUUCACCGAAUCAGACUUCUCUCCUUGCAGCUGGCUCACGCCACGACAGUUUCACCUUUUUCUCGUCUUAUCUCCGUCUGUCGAAGUUUUGUUCCUAGAAAAAUAUCCACACUGUUCAACCUCCAGACAUCUGGACUCUGGAACAAUUUCAGACCGCUUGGACCAGAUUUAGUCGGACUGAGCCGAACAAUCGAGACACUAAUGUUAGAGAAGUCCGAUUUAGAGCGACUUUUUAUGUGUAUUUUGUUUAUUUAGCACAGAUUAAAAACAGUGCAAGGAGGGAACGAAGCCGAUGGGCUUAUACAGAGUUCCACUCCCGUCAGGUCAGAGAAAACAUAAGGUGCGGACAACUAAGUACACAGACUGGAACACAGACAAAUCAGCAAACAGUGAUAAAGAAAAUAAAGUAUUUAUAAAAAGGAAAGAGAUAUGAUCAUAACAGAUAAUGAUGUAUUUAAGACAUGAUCAGAUGAGAUUUUAAUGAUAUUUUAAAGGAGUUAAAGGAUGAUAUUGAUUUUAGAAAUGCAUCAAGAUUAUUCCACAAUUUCGGACCUCUAAAAGUGAUGUUAGACUGAUGACUAGAAGUUCUACAUGAAGGUAACUGAAGAUGGCCAUUUUGUCGUGUUGAGUACGAAUGAAGGUCGGAUGAAAAGGUAAAAAAGUUUCGGAAAGUUUCAGGAAGGGCUUGUUUGUUGUUGAUGAAUUUGUGGACAUAUAAACAAGAGUGAAGGACAUUGAGUUUGUCAAUUGGUAAGAUGGAGUAUUUAGAAAAGAGAGGAGCCGAAGGUUCGUGUUUGCUGGAUCGUGAUAUCAUUCUUAUGAAUCUUUUCUGGAUUAUUAAUAUUUUCUUGAGGUAAGUUGGAUACGUUGCACACCAUACAAUGUUACAAUAGUUCAUGUACGGGAAUAGAAAGCUGUAGUACAUCAGUCACUUCAGUCAGUCUGAGGUGUUUCUGUGUAUCAGAGAAGUCCACAUAAAUCCAUUUUUGAACAUGUAAACACACUGUCAGAUCAAUCAAAACAAAGAGGGUGGUUCGAUGGUACUCCACUGUUCCUCUCACCCACACCCCCACAGUCGGGUUAAACCCUGGUCUUCAGAUACAGCCUUCACCAGCGCUCACCUCGCCCACGUUCAGCGGCUCCCGGCUCAUUGUUUCGCUGUUACUUCAUCAUGUGGACUGAUUUUGAUUGCGUAUGCUAAUGAGACUGCACACUUAGCCGUCGACAUGAAUCAAUUCAUUACACAGAAGAAUUAUGCAUCGUGUAGUUUCAGCCCACACAGUCAAAGACGGAUGUGAACUAAUAGCUGCUGAUGUAUAAACGAGGAGUUGGAAACUCUGGCAGGUGAAUCAGGAAACACCCGACAGUCAUUUCCCUCCUCAUGACGCCCACUUUAACAUGUUUGGUGUUCUGGUUGUUUUAGCGUCUCUGAUAUUAUUGUCCCCAGCACAAAGGAAGUGGACAUGUUAAUUGACAUUCAGAGACAUGGACUGGAUACAGAGGAAGUUCCCCUCCAGUGUGGCUGACACAGUCCUGAUAUAAUUAGAAACUCCAUAACACCAUUAUCAUUCACUCUGCUGUCAAAACGAGCAAACUCCAUUAUUGUAUUCCUGCUGUCAGAGCCGAGUUUACUCGCCUGUUUGGCAAACUCUUUUGUCCACUUUGAAACAAUUAAUAGAUUUUCUCUCACAGAUCAAUUAGCCCACUCUGGAUACACUCACACACACACAGACGCACACACACACUCACAUGCAUCCGUCUGAGACUCUGCUGCAGGGCCAGUGAGUAAUACUUUGCACAAGGUCAGAGUGCUGUUGCCUUAGCACUUUGCAAACAAUAAUUCUGCUCCUGUUAUACAAAAAACUGCUUUGCAAGCUUAAUCUUCUUGGUCAUGGAAAGAUUAGCCUCUGCUGUUUCCCCUGCUCAUGAUAAUGAAAACUGUAACACCCGGCGAGCCGGCAGCACUGAAUACAAGAUGAGGACGCACCGUCAGACUAACUGACCCAAAUUUGUCCCUUUACAAACCAAUCUUCAGGCAAGUAAAUAAAAUCCGUCUCUACACUGAUAUCUUUUGUUACAGUUAAAUCAAGCCUAUUUCUCAGCUUGCUAUAUGGCAAUUUUCACAUCACCUCUUCUGCAUAAAUAUGUCGUUUCUUUUGUUCGAAGAGAAGAGUGCAGCCAAACUGAAUCUGCAGUGAGCCUUUUACUGUGAUUUAUACCCGCUCUACUGCUGUGUGGAUUAAAAUGUCGCCAAGAUGCAACUUCUGCACAGAACCAAAUUCAUUAUCUCUUUUUAUAACGAAGGGAACUAAAUCUUUCAGAGUCUCCGAUGCGGCCCGUAUAUCCAGAACUUCUGCUUCUACCUCCUUUUUGGUUUUGUUUGAAUGGUCCAGAUUUGAUGGAGUUCUGGCCCUGAGAAGAAUGGUCCGAUUGUUCAGAAACUUUAUGUUAAUCAGUCAGGAUUUCCAACACCCCCCCCUCCUAAUCCAUUUUCCAUUAAUGCUGAUUUCCUAGAGCAAUACAGGAAAUUACACCAGAUCCUGCUUCAGGGGUGAUCAAACCCGGAUCACCCAUAAAGCUGAUGGAGUAAAGGGCACAAUACGGUUCAUGGUCAAGGUCACUAUAUAACGAGUAGAUCCAAACCAGAGAUCUGAUUGGACAAGGAACUUCCCCAUAUAUGGGUAUCGUUCUUUUUCAUUGCAGUACACCGUCUUUGAAGGGUCUGGAUACCAUGAAGGCCAAUGACUCUGUGAGAGACUGUGUGAGCUAACCCCCAAUUUUCACCACAUCCAGAAUGGCAACGAUUUUCCUGUCUGCCAAUUCCUACCGGAUCCGUUUGUGAGGUGAAUUUCAUGGCAGAUUACAGACAGCAGGAAUCACAAGAACUCACAAGAACCCGCAGAUUCACGUUCAAUCGUGUGAUAACGAGUUGUCUCUCUAAAGACAGACACAUAGACAUAUAAGCAGUAGAUUGUGUCCUUCCAGAGGAGGAAAUCUACUUCUAGACUUCUAGAAUCAGCAUCUCCUCAUCCAUGGUGUCAUCGGGGUGAAAUGACGUCUAAAAACCUUUCACUUGUUCGUCUCCGCCCGUUUGCAUGGUGUGAAAUACGAUCCUCCUGAAACACGGAGUGUUUUAUUUUGAAAAGAAGCCGGAUGUUUUAUUUUGUGUCUGUGCCCGACUUCCUUUCCAGCACGGGUUAAUCUGUGCUGAAUUUAUCCGCCAUGCUCCGGCGUCCAGAAAAAAUAGAACUCUUGUGAUCAGCUGAGGAGUCCGGCGAUCCGCAGAGGAACGGAAAGAAGUCGGUGUAAAUUGACACGUUAACUUGAACGGUUACGAUCAGCUACGAUCGGCGGAUACGACCUUUUAGGAGACGAUCAGGAUGAAGGUGGAGAUUAGGGGUAACAGCUCAACAAUUAUCUCGUCUUGCAAACAUCUGAAAAACUAACUCUGGAUGUGAUCUUUUAAGGUUGCAGUGCUUCAAAAUCAGACAUGACUCUGUGGGGGGAAUCACCGCAUGGACACAAAAAUCCCUCCCACAAGACUUUGUGGCUAUAUCCAUACAUGCAGGUUAGAACUGAUCCAGAAGGGGGAGUGGAAACGUGUCCUGUAGUCUUACAAACCAAGAUCUGACACACUCAGUUAUAGAGACACGGGCACCCUGGCGGUCCAGACCAAAACCCCAAACUGGACUGGGUCAGUUUAUCAAUAACUACAAGUCUCUUCUCAUAAUAAUCCAGAUUUGAACAUGUAUCUGUAUGUGGAGGUUCAAUCUUGACACAAGGUUCAAAGGGGUCUAAUAAAGGUCAUGUUUUCUUAAGUCCUGCCUGUAAACCAAUGAGAGGCUCUGACAGAAACAGGAAGUGUGUCAGCUGCGCUCUUGGAUCCACACGGUCUGUAUCACCAUUAAUUCAAAUGGAGAUGUACACGAGCCUCACUCCUCACAUCCAUUGUGGUAAUAAUUGCAUUUUUCCUGGCACUCACCUCCACUCCUCGUCUUAAUUACAGCCCUCCACCUUUCACAGUCAAACAGCUGUUGCAUUGUCUCAGGAGGGGGGAGGAGGCCCGUUAUUUGUCCCUGUCUUUCAGAACUUUAUCUCCAUAUUGAUUCUUUUGUGGGAGAGGAAACUGGCUUCAGCUGAGAGGAGGAGAGGGAGGGAGAAUAGAGCCAUCAGUAAUCUCCACCAUGAGGGAGCAGUAUCGAUGGUUCUCCAGGUGGGACAGGUACAGACAGUACAGCUGGAGGUGCUUGCUCCAGUUUGUACUCGUGUCGACAUGACGGAGGCGCUCUCUGCUGCUACAGCGAGCAGAUGGGAACAAAAGAGGUAGCUGUUUGUUAGAAUUACAGAGGAGCUCUCGCUGAUAAUCUCCCCGGAUAAAAGAAGUUGGAGGCAGGGCUGGAGGAAGACGAGGCCGCAUCAAUAAUUUAUGAACGUGGCAUCAAACAGCCACAGAACUUAAUUCAAGUUUGGAGUGUUUGUGAGCGUUUGCAGGAAGCUGCGGCGGUGGCGGCGUUCUGCUGUGACCUUAUAUCACAUCCAAAUUCCAGGUUUAAUCAGAGCAAGAGUAAGUUUUAAAAGUGAGUAAUCAGACAUUUGGAGAUGAUUUACGUCACGAUCAGCCGCUCUGAUCACUUUUAUAAAAACGUCUGUUACUCUGUGAAGCUGCAGCAGGAUCGGUCUAACCUAAGCCAAUGAAAAGGGAAGUUGCUCCAGGUCCACUUUGCACUGAACCAAUCAUGUUCUGAAUUAGAAUCAAGUAUCAAACAAAUGCAUCAUAGCAGACAGCAGCUCCACCCAACCAUAGCACUUUAACAGGUGAAGCCGACAGCACUGUUGGUGAGAAACAAAGAAAAUGAGUGCUACCCCCGACAGAAAUGACCAUGAAGGCUCAACAGAUGACCACAUCAAUGUCAACCACAACACUGGCGUUAGGAAAACGUCGGUGGUGUGGAGGUAUUUUGGUUUUUGGAGGUCGGACAUGAAGCAGAGUAAUGUGGACUGUAAAUUAUGAGAGACACAAAGACCUCACAGAUGCAGGAGAUUAUUGUGUUGGAAAAGACAUGCGACCAAUAAACACUGUUACAUUUCAUUUUUAACACUGCCCAGCCCUACCUCUGAGGCAUGUGUGCUAAACAGCGCAUGCUGUGAGGUUGGAGUAUAAAGGCGUGUAUUAUCCACCUAUCAGGUAGGAUACACUAAAGCAGAGCCACACACAGCACUGAACCAAACCAUGUCUCCACAACAGACUCUUUUUUUUUUCACUGUCAAACUGGGUGCAAAAGUACAGACUUAUGUCAUAAGCUCUUGUGGGGACUGCCAAUUACUUUUGUGACUAACCCCCCAAGUGUAAUCCUGACACAGCCUAAUAUGGAGAAGUGGCUGCAGCAGGAUGAACACUCUCCGAACAGGAGGAGGAAUACAUUAGCAGCAGGUGGACUUGAGGCGAGCUUCAAUUUGGCUAAUCACAUCAGCUCCACUCAUAUCCUUCAAAAAGCAGCAGACGGUUGCCAAGCAGGCCAGGAAAAGACCCCCGGUUCCUUCUCGAGGAGGCGUCGAGUCCCAGAACGCCGUUUAAAGACAUCCUGGUGCUGAGAAUGUGGAAACAUUCUCAUACUCAGAAUCCUAAAGAUCCUGUCACAUCAUAUCGCAUCACAUCCUGUCACAUGCUACUGUAUCAUAUUGUAUCAUAUCAUAUCCUGUUUUAUCAUAUCGUAUCAUAUUGUUUUGUAUAUCAUAUAUUAUUGUAUCGUGUCCCAUGUUGCAUUGUGUUAUCAUAUAAUAUUGUGUAUUGUCAUAUCAUACCAUAUCAUAACAUAUCAUAUCACAUCCUGUCUUAUCAUAUUCUGUUUUAUCCUAAUGUGUCAUAUUGUUUUGUAUAUCAUACAUUAAUGUAUCAUGUCCUACUGUCCCAUGUGGCAUUGUGUCGUAUGUCAUAUAUCAUAUCUUGUCUUAUCAUUUUGUAUCUGAUCAUAUCCUGUUUUAUCAUAUCCGGUCAUAUUGUUUUGUAUCAUUCUAUUAUACAAUAUCAUGUCAUACUGUCCCAUGUGGCAUUACGUCGUAUGUUGUAUCAUAUCACAUCAUGUUGUAUCAUAUAGCAUUGAUACAAUACUGCGUGUCGUACUCUAUCAUGUUGUUCUAUGUUGUAUAGUACUGUAUUGUAUCAUAUCAUAUCCUGUUUUAUCAUAUCAGAUCGUAUUGUUUUGUAUAUCAUACAUUAUUGUAUCGUGUCCCAUGUGGCAUUACGUCGUAUGUUGUAUCAUAUCACAUCAUGUUGUAUCAUAUAGCAUUGAUACAAUACUGCGUGUCGUACUCUAUCAUGUUGUUCUAUGUUGUAUAGUACUGUAUUGUAUCAUAUCACAUUGCAUCAUACUGUAUUUAACUAUACCCCACUAUACUCUAUCAUUUCACUUUUAUAUUAUAUUGUUUCUUGUUGUAUUUAAUUUGUUCUUGCUUCAGUUCAUCUCCUACUGUUCAUCUGUUGAUUUUAGUAUUGUUUCUGUUCAGUAUUGUGUCAUAUUGCAUCAUUAUAUCAUAUAUUUUUGACACUAAACCACAUAAUCUCAUAAAUCAUAAAUAAGGCUGUCCUCUUGGUGCUGAUGGUGUACUCACUUGUUAAAGCUAAAUUACUAGAACCAAAGUUGAAUGACCUCCAGCUGGACCUCAGUUUCACGUUUCAUGUUUGUUCGUUAACAUUUGGCACUUGUGACAUUUUAGGAUUUUAAUUGUUUUGAUUGGAGGAUUUUUGAACUGAUGAUAUCAGAGAAUAACUCAACCAGAGAAAAGUCAUUUUCAUUUUUCAGCGCCUACUGGAGUCUGUUUUUUUAUUAUUUCAGUUUGUUUUAAGAGAAACAAACCUGAAUCUGUUUUGGCAGAAACCUCCACUCAGUAGUUUGUUAACUUCCACCUGUGAUCUCGUCUCUCUCAGCAGGUGUUUGUUUUACGGGGUUGAAAUGAAAACAUAUAGGAUUAGUUGUCACUGUUGCUCUGAGUGAGUCAAACCCUGUUUGAGCAGAGAGUGAAGUUUCUCCUGUCAGCUCUUUUUCCCAAUAACACGGGCUGACAGCUCUCUUCAAAGGUCUAUUUUUAAGAAAGAAUAUAUUAUUCUGAUUAUUCAGGAACAGCAGAGCGGUUGGAGAGAUCUUCGAUGAAUUGUAAAACAGACCCGUCUCCUCAAACAGAGGCGAAAAUUGCUCUGCAGCACCCCAACUGCAUAAUUAAUACCUCAGCUCCACUUGGACCGAGCCGGAUCUUCUGAUGCCACAGGACUAAUUAUUUUGGGAUGUGUGUCGAGACGAGACCAAAGUUUGGCUCCGUGCACUCGCACACACGUUUCCUACGCCAUUAAGAGGUACGACAAUGACGAGGAGGUCGAAAGUUUCCGCCCAUGUGUUUGAUCAACACGCUGCGACCCUCUGAAACCAGCUCAGGCCUCUUGAGUUUGAGUCCCGCUCAUUUGGUUCAGCUUCUCUCUGAGUAGAAAUCACCAUUUUUCAAGUCUGCAGUAUUUUCAAAAGCACCAACUGCUAUCAUCAUCUUCAUCUUCAUCAUCUCAGCCAGAGCUCUUCUGUGGAGCAGAAGGGGAGACAUCCAAGGACCAGAUCAAAACCUCUCUGAAAGAUCUGCCACUCCAUCUGUCUGAGAGGAAGACGUGGUCACGGUUUAUUCUGCCUCGCAGCUCGUCUGUCAAGACGCAGUCCAACACUUGAGGAGAGGCAAGGACACGGGAAGGAGGAGGAAGUCAGCUCAGGACGCUCUGCACGGACUGGUGGGUUAGAUCCUGAAUCCAAAAGACCACUUAAGUCUUCUGAGGUGAGACUUCUACAGUUAAAAAUCCUCUUUGGUGGAUUUUCUUGUAUUUUGACUCUCUCUGUUCUGUUCUCGUCUUUUUUGUCUCAGUGAAUUAAAGCUCUCUCCACUCUCGCACAGACGUGUUUUUCUCUCUUCUUCGAAUAUAAAAACCCCGGUCCAUAUCAGAGGGACUCAGAAACAGGCCGGACUUUUGAAUAAUGAUAAUGUGGAGUCAGUCCGUCAGGUUCAAACACCACAGAGGAACAGGGAAACAGCUGGAAAGGAAGGGGGCGUGGCCUAAAUACUGCAAUCAUGUUUACAAUCUCUGACAAGAUGGCCGCCAAAGGAAAGUCGGAAUUCAAAGUUUGGAAAAGUCGACUUUAACAUCAGAUAAUGUGGACUAAAGUGUGUGAAGAUCAUUGAUAGACGCUCACUGUCAAUCAAACUAUCUCAAACAGGCUGGAAAAUACGAGCAGGAUCCUGAAAGCACAUCAGCUGUUCGAGCUCUGGAGACUAAAUAAUAAUAAUUACAAUAAUGACAAUGAUAAUAACAACAACAACAACAACAACAACAACAAUAAUAUUAAUAAUAUUAAUAAUAACAAUAAUGACGACGACGAUAGUAAAAUAAUAGUGAUGAUAAUAAUAAUUACAAUGACAACAACAACGAUGAUGAUAUUAAUAAUAAUAAUUAUAUUAACAACAUCAAUAAUAAUAAUAAUAAUGAUAAUAAAAAAUAAUCAAAUUAAUCAUAAUUUUAUUAUUAAUAAUAAAAACAACAAUAAAAAUGAGGAUAUUGGGGAAAUGAAGAAUUAUGAUAAUAAUAAAAAAAAAUAAUAAUAACAAUAAUAAUAAUAAUAAUCACACGCUGCAGAUCAAUUAUUCAUGCAUGCAGUGUAAAGGGGGUCCUGGUUCUGGUCCUGGUUCUGGUUCUGGUUUUAGCAGAAAAUUAGAUUUACCUGACAUGUUUUUACAAACACGAGUCUCGCUCUAUUCGAUGACUCAUUCGCACAGACUCGUGCUUCCUCUAUGUAGAGUCACACAGACGCAACCGAUGGCGUCCCACUUCGACGAUUACCAUUCAGAUGGCUGCUCCUCAUUAACAUUACAGACGAGUACACCACCCCUCUUCUACCCACCCCCCCAGACUGUGUGUGUGUGUGUGUGUGUGUGUGUGUGUGUGUGUGUGUGUGUGUGUGUGCCAAAUCAUUGAGUUUCCUGUUAAUUAACUGUCGGCCUGUUGCCACCUCUUCUUGUUUUUGUUUUUGUUUUUGUUUUUUUUCAUGUUUCCAAACAGCUUGUUGGUGUGAGAACUGAUGAUGCAGUUUUAGUCUUUAAAUGUAGAACUUUACAUUUACUAAAAUUUGGGGAUUUAAGGAGUGUAUGAAUGAAAAGGCUAAGAGGAAUUAAAGUUAAUGCUGUGGAGGCUUCAGUGAUUUCAGUAUCACCGACUCGAAUCUUUCCUCAGGCUGCUGCCAUUCCAGUACAGUCACUGUGGAAUUAGAAAUGAUCAAGGUGUUCACUUAAAUGUCCUCAUUAAUCAAAUCUCAUCUAAAGUGAAGAAGAAAUAAGCCUGAAUAUCUCUCUGAAGCGCUGUUGGAGUUUGGCUGCUGUUGUGUCGCCAAAGAAAGGUUUUAAUCAGGAGUUGGCAGCUCGCAGGUUUACACCGGCUUCAAGAAUCUGUGACCGAGAGGGUAAGUGCUCCUGUCUUUGACUCCCAAUGGAGCCCAUUUUUUUUAAUCAUCUCUUUUUGGCCGUCUGCACGUUCAGCCGGAUUGUUUACUUUUGAAACAGGAGGCGAGAAACUCCGUUUAAUAAAACAAUGGCCGCAAGCUUUGGCUCUGGACGGACACGCCGAGUUCUGGAUUUAACAGUUACUGGGAAAAAAGACAAAAACUAGACAGGUUUAUUUAUGAAGCACCGCUCAGACUCGGAGACAUUCAAAGAGCUCUGCAGACGAAGAUAUAAACCCAGAGUGAAAGACAUUAUAGUAACUUUAAAUAUAAAUAAAGACGCCAACAUACAAAAAAAAGAUCAGAUAUGUAACACGGAUGAUUAAACAUGUUCACCAGGUUCAAACAGACUUUAUCAGACCUGUCACCAAUAUCACCAAUAUCACAAAUAUACUCCGACAGCCUCAAACUGUUUAUUAAACAGAAGACUGAGGCGUUCACUGUGAGGCCGGCUUUAGGCACGGGUAUUUAGGUGGUCCCCUGGAGCUCUGGGAUCUCCAACCCUGGGACACCCCGGAUGGUUCCCUGUCUCAGCUGCAGACCACUCACUUAUGUGAUGUUAGACAACUGAGAGCGAGGAGGAGGAGGCAGGUACAGGUGUGACUCUCACCUCCACUACCGUACACAGACAGACAGAUAACAGUGUACCACUCUGUAUGAACUGGAUCUGGUGUUAAGUGUUAAUAUUUGAAUGUCUUUAAAUGAAGAAAUAACCAGCAAAUUUAAUAUAUAUGAUAAUUCUACAAUAAUAUGACACUAAUAUUGAUAAUAGACUACAGUUAGCUGAUGGUAAAAUCAAACUUCCUAUUUUUAAAACUGAAUGGUUGAUGUUGCUUCAGUCCUUUAAUCAGCUGAUAUAGAAAUCACUCUGUUAGUCUGAGUUUACUGGUUAUGAUGGGAAAUUCAGCGUAUUGGGAUUGACAGGUCGUUUCCAUAGCAACAUGUCAAACAGAAUAGAGGGGUAACGAUGUAAAUCUAACCUGUCGUCCAAAGAGGAUUCUCAUGGAUUUUGUUUUAUUAAAUAUUUAAGAGGAUUUAUUUUCCAAGUUCACCCUGAAAACAUCAUUUUUGUUUUUUUUCUUUCUAUCUGCUUCACCCUCUAAAACUUCCUCUUUACAUUCGCUCCCUCGUUCAGCGUUUGUUAUUAUUUUUGAAGGGGCUGUUCGAGGCUCUUGUGCUCCGUGCUCCUCUGAACAAAUGUCACACCGACAGAGAGGACCAGAGAUCCUCCUGGAAGAGCUGCAGGGGGGGAGAGUCUGCUGAUAACAGAGGAGAAACACCAUCCAGACCAAACAGCACAGACGUGUUUGUUUCUGUUAGUGUUCCUGCUGAAUCAGAGUUUUUAAAGCUGAGUUUAUAUUUAGGGUUAUAUUUGGAUAAAAAGGAGAUGGUGUUAGUUCAUGCAGUUGUUGCUCCUUCACAGCAUCAAAGUUGAUUUACUGUUAAAACAAUAACCAAACAUUUAUCAACCUCCUCAUAUUCAAUCUGUUUCUUCUCCUCACUCAUUAUUACGACUGUUAUCAUCAAUAGUAUUAUUGAUUAUAAGUUUUAUGAACUGUCUAAACUUGUCGAACACAUUCAGUUAGCUGAAGUACAUCUCUAAGAACUUUAACUUUCCAUGUUCAUGCAGAGAAAAUCUGAAUUAUAAAAAUAUGUUGAGGAUUAGUGUAACAGACAGUAUAUGUAAAACAAGAGUCGCCAUGACGACAGGUUAAUAUGUUUGUCAAAGUUGUCUUUGUUUUUGUUUUUUCAUGGUAAAUUUAGUUAACAUUGAAGUUGAUGUCAUUUUUACUUUACACUUUACUGAGGAAAACGAUUUAGUGUUUGUCCUUAUAAAUAAGUUUAAUUGUUACAUGAAUGACCGAUGAACGUGGUCUGAACCAUUGCAGCUAUUUUGGUUUGAAGAGGGCGACUACAAUUUUAAUGUUGUUCAACUUCAGUUCUUUUAAUACGUUGUUUUGUUGCUGAUUUCUUUAUGAAUAAGUUUUUACUGUCAUGUGUUUUACCUUUGUAGUUUUCACUUAUAAGAUUAAACAGUUGUGGUUUGAGUCAGUUUGGACCGUUAAUAACCAACAGUUACAAAUACAGAGAUUAUUGACGGCGUAGAUUAGGAUAUUUCAGAUUAAAGGUGUAAUAAUCAUGACUGUGUGUUAAAGGGGUCAGUGAUAGAGGGAGACGAGGUUCAGGAUAUUUAACCUUUAUAAUGUCAAAUAUCACUCUUUUAAAUGAAGGAAAUCAACAUAUUUUUCAAAAACAUCUGCAGAACUGGGAAUAAAAACUGGCAUAUUGAUUAUAGGAGUAUCUUUGUCCUAAAUCUAAACUCUUUUAAUUAUCUCAUAAGAGUAAAAAAAUGCUCUUUAAUGUGAUUUAAACAUAUUUUACCUUUACUGUCACACAUCUUUGCUCCUUUUGUUAAAACAUGACGGAUUAAUCCUUUAAUUAUUCUGAACGUUUGAUUUAAUUCACGACCAUUCCUUUCAUAACAACACCGCCGCUCAGAGGUAUGUGCAUUAAUGAGCCUCCGCCCGCUCCCUACUGCACACGCUCAGUAAACACGAGUAAUAUCACGGUGUGUGUGUGUGUCCCGGUGACAGAGCAGGAGCCUCAUUAUCCACAGUCCCAGUCAGGAAUGGCCUGUUGGAUAUUAAUGCUAAAAUAUGAAAAUUGAGUGUACUGCCCUCUGGACAACCAAUAUGCACCUAAAAAAUUGAAACAUGACUGUGUUUGGCUUUCACACUUAAAAGGCUUUGCAUACAUAUGCAAGUCUCUUUGUUGGUACCUUGCGGCAGUCCGCCACUUUAAUUUAGGAUUCUGGGGAGCUCUGCUAGAGAGAGACAUCAGACUCAGAAUAAUAUUCCACAUGAAGAGAGAUCUCCCAUGAUUCUUUAUUGAUCGAAUUAGGCAGCAGGACCCCCCCACCCCCAAAGACAGGAGCAUCAGAGAGAAGGAGCAGGACUGAUUAAGAUCACUGCAGGAGAUAGUUCGUUUUUAAAUAAAAGAAAUCAUGUUUGGAAUAUUUUCGCAGCAGAUUACCGUCAUCUUUGAUUUAGCAAUAAAAGACUUUUUUUUCUCUCAAAUGGGCCCCGAGACAAUUUUCUUUCCACUACAGCGCUCCAGCUAUAAAAGAAUAACACCUGAUGGCAAUCUACAGUAUAACCCUGCUAUGGAUCGUGAAUAUGAUUAUAGCCGUGAUUCAGACGAUAAAACUGUGCCAAAGCACCACAAUAGUCGCGUUAAACAAGGGUUAGGAUUGCUGGUUUUAUGCAGCUCUCAGACGCCUGUGCUUUUAUGUAAACACACACUUUGUUUCUGCGGUGAAGUUUUCAGAAAGAUCUCAGCUCCUGAAAAUCGUUCGUUUCAUGUCGGUGACACUUAUCACUGCACAUUAUCUUAGCAAACUAAUAACGCUGUGUUUCCUUUCAAUACAAAAUAAAGACUCACGUACGGUGGAGCCCAAAGCACACAACUUCAUUUGUGAAAAACAAAUUUAACGACCCACAGACGCGCGUACGUGUGUGUGUUAGCUUUAUUGGUUCGACUCCAGGGUGUGCGGAUCCACGUGCAGCCACUUCACAUGCUCACACACAGCUCCGGAAAAGCCAACACUCUGCUUCCACAAGACAAGAUGGACUCAGAUGUUUCACUGUGUGUUGCCAAGGACAACAACAACCUGGGAGAAACUGUCAGAAAAGUGCCAGAGAACUCGCAGGGAGCCACCAAACACACUGAUUCAGAAUGCUGCUGCUCGAGUCCUCACUAAGACCAAGAAAGUAGAUCAUAUCACCCCAGUUCUCAGAUCUUUACACUGGCUUCCCGUCUGUCAAAGAAUUGAUUUUAAGAUACUAUUGCUGGUUUAUAAAGCACUGAAUGGAUCAGGACCAAAAUACAUUUCUGAUAUGCUGAUACGUUACGAACCAUCCAGACCGCUCAGAUCAUCAGGAGCAGGUCUGCUCUCUGUCCCCAGAGUCAGAACUAAACGUGGAGAAGCAGCUUUUAGUUUUUAUGCUCCUCAUAUCUGGAACAAACUCCCUGAAAACUGUAGGUCUGCUGAAACUCUCAGCUCUUUUAAAUCACAGCUGAAAACGCAUAUGUUUGCUGUGGCCUAUCAUUAAAUCAAACCUGAGGCCUUUAAUCAACAUCUUCAUCAUCUGCCUGUCUUGAUCUUUUUUUUUUCUAUCUCUCCAAUCUAACCUUUGUUUUCUUUUAUCUCCAAUCUUAUUUUAGCUUUGAAUGUAACUUUUAAUCUGUUAAAUGUCUUUUACGCUGUUUUUACUUUUUAAAUUGUGUUGAAUGUUUUGCCUGCUUGUUUCAUGUAAAGCACCUUGAAUUGCCCUGCUGCUGAAAUGUGCUAUACAAAUAAACUUGACUUGACUUGACUUGACUUGUACCUGCGCUGUGAACUGAUGGGGAGGAGAACAAGGCCAGUCUUGGCUGCUCCCAUCCUUCCUUCCUCUCCCUGGAAAUGUUUGCAUGGAGAAAACAAACAAAGACGAAGCUUCUGGUUCACUCAGACUCAAUGAGUGGAGCUCCCUCUCCUCCGCUGCUCUGGGACUGUGUGACAGCCUGAACCAGCUCUCAAAUACGGAGGAGUUUUACUCAACACAGUCAGAACUCAGAGGUUCUGUGUGCUGGUCCGACACGGGUUGUUAUUGAGUUUAGGAAACCACAUCCUGAGUUCAAUCAAAGAUGAGAUUAAAGGAGAAGCAGGCAGGAAUCUGUGGAAGACACAUCUUUUUUUGUGGUGUUUGAUGAUUAAAAUUAUUUUCUUAUGUAAAUAAUAGAUAGUAGAUAACUUUUAGAGAUAUUAUGUGAGACAACAGACAAUUGAAUUUCCCUUUGGGGAUUAAUAAAGUUCUUAUCUUAUCUUAAAUCUGCCCAAUUUUAGCCCGUUUGAGACUAAUCGGUAAUCGGCAAAAACUCGCCGAUUGUCGCCGAUAUUUUCAGAAAUAAAAUGCUGAGAAUAAGAUUCAGUUUCACUUUGAAAAUGUUCCUCCAUUUGAAAAGUUCCCUGACUUAUCCUGUAGAUGGCGCUACAGCGACCUCAUGCCGAUCUUCAUCCACUAACUACCUCACAGCACAUGUUCCUCGCUGUGCUGGUCUCGGUCAUGCCCAGUUAACGCUGAAGCACCAUGGGAUAUGAAACUAACGUUAGAGUUAGCCACCUGCUGUUAGCCUUGCUACACUGUUAGCCGUGUCAGUAACGGUAGAAUAAACAACAGUACACAUUAGUGAUCGAGAUACUUCUCUGACUGAGGCAGCUGCAUGUCUCCAGAUGAGACCGGACCGGACAUGAGGAACGGGAGUUAAGACGCAGAAGCACCGAUCGGCGGGCGGGGGGCCUGCUCUUUGGCGUGAAGAGCAGUAGCCUACAGAAUAUAAAGUGUUCCUCAUUCUUUAUGAUGUACGUGAGUUAGCUUUAUUUAUAUUUAUUUAUAUAGAGUAUUAAUUUUAGAAGAUCAACAUUAACGAUGGGGGACGCUUCGGGAUCGAACCAUCAGGUCCAGCAGGUACUUCUUUCCAAGACUGUUUUUUCACGGAUUAAAAAGGUUCAAUUUCAGACAAAAACCAGGAGUCCUUGAAUAUCACUCUGUACACUGACGCAGAGUCUCUUCUUUGAGACGAAACAUUAUCCUUUCACCACACGAACUACAUCCUGACAAAGAGUCCCGAGUCCAGCCCUAAAGUGUCUGGUUCUAAUGUUCUGAGUCGUCUGUGGACUCCCGAAGAGACAUGCCGGUGCAGUUGUUGAGGUUUCAGCAGCAGCAGCAGCUUCUCCGUGUGCUGACAGCCGAACACCUGACAGACUGUCUGAGAGAGCAGAGGGGGAAAUCUCUGAGGGGACACUGAGAGAUACCGACCCCCACACACUCUACAGCAGCUUCAUUCAAGUCUGCUAAUGUCACACAUGAACUCUGUGUCUAACCAGUCAGGACUGAGAGACUCUCCAGAUAACCUGAGUCUGGUGUCAGUCUGAGACUUUCACAGGAGGCUCAUGAUAGAAUAAUAAUGAUCCGGACCCUCCUCAGACUAGUCUACCAUCAGUGGACCCUGUCUGGGUCAUUAUCAGUCUGACUGUACUGGAGCAGAGACCAGAGACCGGUUAAUUUCAGAUGGUUUAUGAAGUAGGUUAUUAUAAAUGCUGAGAGUCUAAAAGGAAACACAGAGAGAGGUCUGACCUCAGGUUUAAGCCGACUCACAUGGGAUUAGUACAACCCUCCAGUCAGAGUUAAUAACUGGGGAGGAAGUCUGUGUUUUUAAUCCUGUACAAAUUAACCAUGCCUGUAAUUCUUGAAGUCAAAGGGCGCAGAGGUCCUCUGGUCAGAUUCAUCAGGCCUGUUUUAUAAGGAGGGUCACCAGAGAACUCCCACAGGGCUCCUCGGUUCCUCCCUCUCUCCUACAGCCCAGUGUCAUGGCUCUUUGCUCUGGACAGAUGCUCUGGCAGACACACGCCAUUAAACCUCUUUCUCCUGUAUCACCGAGGACGGUGGGAUGAAGGUCAGAGAAGAACGGAGGCGUCACGACGGAAGAGAAGAGACGGAUUCAAGGGAAGUUUGUGUCAAAGUGGAGAAAAUAUGAGUGAUCUAAAAUAAUCCUGAUUAGUCCUGAGAUUCACGAACUGCACACGUUCAUCGAUGAAUAAAUGAACGAGUUAUUCUCUUAAUUAGAGACGCUGAGAAGAAGACAGGUGGACGCUCUACUCUUUAAAACUGAGGAUGCAGCAUCUAUGGUUUCUAAUUCUUCGUUUAAAGGACAAGUGGACUUUAUUGAGUUGUCCUUUCUAUGUGGUGAUUUCCACUUCAGAGUCCAGCCUGUCUUGCUGAAAUGUGAACGUCUGUUCAAAGACAGUCGUUUCUGAAGGGGAUUUAUAGCUCAUGCAGUGAUUUCCACUACAGAGUCAUGUCUGUUUUUAGUGCAUGUUUCCUUUGUGCAACUAAAAUUAGAUGAGUGUGAAUUGUAAAAUGUAUUUAAGGUCACAUGUGCGCAUUAAAAAAUACCCACACAUAUUUUUUUUCCUGUAAAUACAGCGGUGAAGUUAGUUUAAGGUUGGAUAUAUUCUCCUGUAAAUACGGCGGUGAAGUUAGUUUAAGGUUGGAUAUAUUCUCCUGUAAAUAUGGCGGUGAAGUUAGUUUUAGGUUGGAUAUAUUUUCCUGUAAAUACGGCGGUGAAGUUAGUUUCAGGUUGGAUAUAUUUUCCUGUAAAUACGGCGGUGAAGUUAGUUUUAGGUUGGAUAUAUUUUCCUGUAAAUACGGCGGUGAAGUUAGUUUUAGGUUGGAUAUAUUCUCCUGUAAAUACGGCGGUGAAGUUAGUUUUAGGUUGGAUAUAUUUUCCUGUAAAUACGGCGGUGAAGUUAGUUUUAGGUUGGAUAUAUUUCCCUGUAAAUACGGCGGUGAAGUUAGUUUCAGGUUGGAUAUAUUUUCCUGUAAAUACGGCGGUGAAGUUAGUUUUAGGUUGGAUAUAUUUUCCUGUAAAUACGGCGGUGAAGUGAGUUUUAGGUUGGAUAUAUUUUCCUGUAAAUACGGCGGUGAAGUUAGUUUCAGGUUGGAUAUAUUUUCCUGUAAAUACGGUGGUGAAGUUAGUUUCAGGUUGGAUAUAUUUUCCUGUAAAUACGACGGUGAAGUUAGUUUUAGGUUGGAUAUAUUUUCCUGUAAAUACGGCGGUGAAGUUAGUUUUAGGUUGGAUAUAUUUUCCUGUAAAUACGGCGGUGAAGUUAGUUUUAGGUUGGAUAUAUUUUCCUGUAAAUACAGCGGUGAAGUUAGUUUCAUGUUGGAUAUAUUUUCCUGUAAAUACGGCGGUGAAGUUAGUUUCAGGUUGGAUAUAUUUUCCUGUAAAUACGGCGGUGAAGUUAGUUUCAGGUUGGAUAUAUUUUCCUGUAAAUACGGCGGUGAAGUUAGUUUCAGGUUGGAUAUAUUUUCCUGUAAAUACGGCGGUGAAGUUAGUUUUAGGUUGGAUAUCUGACGGACAUUCUCUGAGGAUCUACCGGUGUCUUCUCACUCUCCAUAACCGGGAAUAACAACAGCAGCGCGGUUAAAUCUACUCGACACCCUCACUGUCAAAGUCGGUGUUGAAUAAGGGACCGUCAAUAAAUUACCGGUUGAUGUUCUCAGAAAAGGCUGUUUUCCUUCAAUAGCUUCACUGUCAUGUGACCAAAAGACCUGAAAUUGAUUUCUAAUAAUAGUACUAAGGUUGAUCAAUAAGACAAACAUUAUUUGAUCAAUUUUCAUUGUUCCCCUAAAGUCCUUUGUGCUCCUUGUGAAAAAAGUCAGUGUCAAGCUCUGCAACAUUACACAACUUUUCAGUGUUUUCUGGACCCUCCUCCUGUUUCAACAGUUGAUAUUUAAUCUUUGUACUAUUAAUAAAAGAUUUUAAAACCGUCAAACACGUUAGAAACAUUUUAACACAUCACAGAGUCGAGGUUUUACCAUAACCGCAGUAUCAGUCUGGUUGGUUUAAAUAAUAAGAAUAUUAUUAUUAUUGGUUGGUUUUCUGCCUCACAUAAUUCCUCAUAAAUAUACAAACAGCCCGUCUCCUCUUCUUUCAGGUGUUUUAAUUAGUCACGCUGACUUUGUGUUCUCUGGUUGUCUUGUUUUUGUGUAUUAGCAGGACCGUUGUCGGAUAUCUGGGGUCUUUUGUUCCUUUUAUUAGCCUCCGAUGUGUCUGUUGUGUCAUCUGGAUUGUUUUUUUUUCUCUUUAUUCUUUUCUUUUGAGAUUUAAAACUCCAAAUGAAGUCGUUUCUUUUGUUCUCCUACAUUUUCCAUAUUUUUCUGUCACGCUUGCUUUUUAUCGUUUCUCUGCACUUAUAAAUAACUGCAGAUUAUACAAACGCUGAAAAACAAGUGACACAUUCCCAUUUUUAAUUUGUUUGAUCUUCCACUGGUGGCAGACAGAAAUCCUGCCCAGAAUCCUUCGACUCCUGCCAGUUUAUUUUGCAUAUUUAUGGAUAAGACUCCAGCUUCCUCUAACGGCUGAAAAACUGCAGUUUGGAUAGAAAUGUGUACUUUGGAUGUUGGAAGUCUUGGAUGUGGGAGUGAGCGGCCCUGCUCUGGUUCUUGCUAAUAUGUUGUCUUCUAACUCUCCCUUUGUGCCGGCUGCCAAACUGCACUGUUGCAUCUUUGAAAAGACCAAAGCGUUUGGAGGACGGCCAAAUCUGAGGCUGGCAUCACAGUUUAAAGUGAGCAAAAUGAAGGAUAACGAAACCCCAACGGCAAGUUAAGUGUUUGGGAAGUCUGAUCAAACAUGGGAGAAUCUCAACAUUUGAUUAAUAUCUUUUACUUCUUCUUCAAAACAAAUGGACUUAUACUUUACAGAGAAAUGAUGAAACGAAGCUGAAAAUCCCUGAGAGGUUAAAAAACGAUGAACUGAUGCAGGAGGAAAUAAAAUCGUGUUCUUCUUUAAAAAACUCACAUAUAAAGACAUUUAACGGAGAGCAGGGAAAGGAUCCAAAUGCACAUGAGUUACUCUAAUUUCUUAUCCCUGACGUGUUUUUCUUUCACAGAGAAAUGUUUGCAGUCUGCAUAUUUUACACCUGCGUCUACACAUCGGUCCCAUUAGUCACCACCUGCAGAGAUCAGCUAACAGUCUUUGACAGCUCUUAAACGCUCUUAAUUCUGGAAGGCAACGGCACAUUAAGAUGGUUGAUGAUAACCUACUUUUCUCCUCCAAACGAAGCCGCGUUUACAGCGUGACUGAAGUUACUACCUCAUGUAGGAAGUCACUCCUACUCUCCUAUAAAUCAGAGCGAUAAAAGAUGUCAGAGAUAGAUACGAUAUGAUACGUGACAGAAUGAGAUAUAUAACGCUACAUGAUACACUAUGAUAGAAAACCUUCUGAUAACAUUAUACCUAUAACUAUCGUAUACCCAAUGAUUUCUUACAGUGCUAUACAAUGUGGUCAUACAUGCUUCAGUUCACAAGUGAUGGGACAGAAUUUGAUAUCAAACACUUACACUCAGCUGCCUUCACUCAUUAAGAAGUGAAACAAUCAAAGUGACACAAACAGAAUAAGAACUACAACAUCAGCACAAUCAUAAUUACUAUCAUUAUUAUUUUAAAACUCAUGAUUAUUAUUUUUAGCAUAAGUUUAUUUAAUUUUUAGCAUAAUUAGUUUUAUUUUUCAUUAUUUUUAAUGAUUAUUAUUUUUAGCACAUUAUUAUUUCAUUUUGUAUUAAGCACAAUUAUUAUAUUUCAUAUUAUUACUAUAAUUAUUAUCAUUAUUAUUGUAAUAUUUUAGCACAAUUAUUAUUAUUAUAUCAUUGUUGUUGUUGUUGUUGUUACCGUAUUAUAAUUGUUAUAUUUUCAGCACAAUCACUAUUAUUUUUAAUGGUUAUUAUUACUAUUAUUUUUAUUUAAUAUUUUUAUUUUUAUGUAUUUUUUUCCACAUUUUUUAAACAUUUAUUUUACUUUAUUUUUCAUUUUUGUUUCUUUGUUUUUGGACUGUUAUUGAUGAGUUUCUUCUUUUUUUUCUAUAUUGCCUUUACUUCCUGUCAUACUUCAUGUAUACCUAAACCCCCAACAUUAUAGUGAAGAAGAGGUUGGAAAUGCAAACAAAAACACAUGAAAAACUGAGAAUUUUCAUUUCUUAGGGGGAGGCAUUUACCUGUCGCAUCCAUCCACUAAAAAGCCAUUAACUUCACAGCAGACCGCCGAGCUUGGUUAAUGAAUGAAUCACAUGAUUGCAGUCGACUGACAGUUUUGGAUUUGGUCCCUGAGAACAUUUCUUUUCAAAGCUCAAAUUAAAAAUGACCAGAAUUAAAUCAUUAUCAACUUAACAAAGGCUUUUCCUGAUUGUAGCCAUUUCCUAAAUUACCUUAAUUUUUUCCGCAGCACUUAACUUCCCUUUAAAGAACACUUUGAUGAAAAAUAAGCGCUCCUCCGGCGAGUUUGUGACACGAGUUCACAGCAGCUGUCCAGAGGGACGGCUGAAAGAUGCAGAGUACAGCACAGUGAUAGUUUAUUAGGCAGUCUGCCAUGUUGGUCCCCUGCACUUCCUCUUAAAAAGAAGAAGACGGGGUGAGGAGGUUUUAUUAACUUGGCGUGGUCCCCUGAGGGAAAAAGAGCGGCUUGGCUCCCCUUCACUCCCUCUCCAACUCCCUCUGUACAAUAUUCCUCUGCAGGAAUAUUACCAGGCCCCGGGUUAGCUUUGCUUUAAUAUAUUUAAAUACAAUUAAUUAAGAAAUGCCCCUCCGACAUAAGCAUAAUAUGAGCUGACAUAAUGAAGAUCUUUGAAGUAGAUUUUGAUACCGAGCCCCUCUUCCAGACGGCGCCUCCAGAUGAGGUAAUCUAACGGGGCCUGGGGGCGCUCCUCACACCGGCUGAUGGGCGCUUUAGUGCUGCAUAUUCCCAUAUUCCCAAGCAAAGACCACUUAAUCAAAUUACCAUAGACUAAUUGCCACACAGUGAACCUGGGGAUUUUCAGGGGCUCAUGGGGGUCUGCUGGGGCCAGAAGGGAGAGGUAACGAAGAUUCAUGUGAAACCGUUAUGAAUACUAUGAUGUCGUAUGUAUGAUGACAUCUAGGGCUGGGCGAUAUGGGAAUGAGUUUAUCACGAUACAUUUUUUCAUAUCAGUCGAUAUUGAUAUAUAUCAUAAGAAAAUUGUUGACGAUGUGGUCAUCUGUUGAGUUUCUGUCGGGGGUAGCACUCAUUUUCUUUGUUUCUCACCAACAGUGCUGUCGGCUUCACCUGUUAAAGUGCUAUGGUUGGGUGUAGCUGCUGUCUGCUACGACUUUGCAGUUGUUUGAUACUUGGGUCUAAUUCAGCACGAUUGGUUCAACGUGAAGCGGACCAGGAGCAACUCCCCUUUUCAUUGGCUAUUCCUAUAGUCUACUAAAACAUGGCAGCAUAUCUGUUAGAAAGUCAGUGUUAGAUUUUCAAGUAAAUACCACUGUUAUAUUGUGUUUUAUGGUGAGUUUUCAUUUGUCCUACGCUCAUAAACGCACCAUAGGCGUUCUGAUGUGAUUUAUCGCACUGCACCUGUGUCUGAGAAGCUGAAGCUGCGAAAGUUUAAUUUUCCUCCUCAUGCAACAGAGGACAGUUCGUAAAUUUCCUCUUCCCUGUUUUUAUCAAACAUUCACCUUCACACACACCAUACACCUGACCGCUCUAUACCAGCUAAAUCUUGGAGAACAAACUUUUCUCCUUUUUAAUGCCGACUAUUGAAAAAGCAUAUCGACCAUGUUUUAUACUGAUGUUGAGGGAAAUUAAUUUUUGAUAUAUAUGUCAUUAUCAUUUUAUUGCCCAGCACUACAUAUGUAUGAAGACACCUAAACCUGAUCCGUUCUGUACCCUCAAGGUCUUUGUUGAUGCUCCCCCUGCCUCCGACUGGGACCUCUCAGAACAGGGCCCAUCAGAACUCACUGCAUGUAAAUAUGGUCAGGAACGGUCCUGAUUGAACUGCUGAUGAAUGAAUGAAUAUUGAGUCGUGUGUAUGUGUGUAUUUGGAGAGGAAAUCUAUCAGUGCAGUGUGUGUGUGUAUGUAUGUGUGUGAAUGAGCACAGCCUCAGGUCACAACAGUACACCUCGGAGCUUUGCACGGUUACAGCGUACCCCCCCAUCAUUAACCCGAGGACAUGCAUGUUUUUUUCUUCGUUUACAGAUGUUAAAUCCAUCACAUGAACCAGUCUACCACGUACCUCUCAUUUUUUAAUAAUCACACCGUAUAAAGAGAAAACUACUGAGAGCCGACAUGCAACACGAGGCUGCUUUUGAUGUUGUUGGUUUGCACCAUCUGGAAUACUGAUGAAACAGCGUUCUCUAAAUAGGUCAUCUUAAAAGUCACAAUCACCAACAAUGCACAUUUGUCAGCAGAUACACGUUCACCCUGAAAACAUGGUUUAAAAUAGAAGUGAGGAGGCUCAGCUGUGCAGGAAUCCCAAGGCUGCAGCUCGAACCCCCGUCACCAUCUCAUUCCACCUGAAGGCUUUCUAUCACACAGGAAACUACUGCCUUUGUUAGGAGCGCUGGUCACUUUUACUACCAAACUUUACUCAUGUUUACUCUCCCCCAAGUCCGAUUCAGAUAUUUACAUACAUGAGAUAGAGAUAAAGUUGUUUUUUGGGCCUUCAGGCAGCACUGCACUCAAAGCGGACAUUAACUCUGUAGUAGAAGUCACCACAUGAGCUCAAACUCUCAUGAAUAAAUGACUGCGUGACUCAGUCUGGAUCUGCACUUGUGGAAACGUUGAUAAACUGAGUUCAUAAACGGAUGUUUUCAGGCUGUUUCAACAUUAAUCUGGUUUGACUGAUAAGGAAAGUUCAGUUUUAUAUUCACAUAGUUCUGAGGGUUCCAACUUUCUGUGGAAUAGACUGAGCUAAGGUCGCACUCUUACCAUCAGAGUAGGGCUGGACGAUAAAACGACAGCAAUACAUAUCACUAACUGAUUUCCCUCAAUAUCAAUAUAAAAUAUAGUCAACAUGCUUUUGAUAGUGAGCAUUCUGACAUGUUUUGGUAGACUAUACAAAUAAACAAUGAAAAGGGGAGUUUCUCCGGGUCUGAACCAAUCAUGUUCUGAAUUAGAACCAAGUAUCAAACAACUGCAUCACAGCAGACAGCAGCUCCAUCCAACCAUAGCACUUUAACAGGUGAAGCCGACAGCACUGUUGGUGAGAAACAAAGAAAAUGAGUGCUACCCCCGACAGAAAUGACCAUGAAGGCUCAACAGAUGACCACAUCAAUGUCAACCACAACACCGGCGUUAGGAAAACGUCGGUGGUGUGGAGGUAUUUUGGUUUUUGGAGGUCGGACAUGAAGCAGAGUAAUGUGGACUGUAAAUUAUGUCGAGUAUAUGUUCUCACAAAGUCGGGGAAUACCUCAAAUCUUUUUCACCACCUGAAGCAGCGCCACGCCGCAGAGCACGCGCAACGCAGAAGGUUACAAACCCCGAGAGGAGCGAGGAGCCCAUGGCGCCUGAAACAGACGACCAUUCAGUCGGCUUUCUCUAGAGCGACGCCUUACGACAAAACGCCAAAGAGACACAAAGACCUCACAGAUGCAGGAGAUUAUUGUGUUGGAAAAGAAAUGAGACCAAUAAACACUUCUACAUUUCAUUUUUAUAUCCUGAUAUUGAUCGAUAUCAGCUGAUAUGAAAACAAUAUAUAGUGAUAAACUUUUUCCCAUAUCGCCCAGCCCUAAGUCAGAGCUUACACUGCCCCCCAUCAUCUAAAUAACAUAUUACAUAUAAAGUGUUUACUGUUGCUAACUCUUCCCAUUCACAUGCAUCCAAACCUGCGAGCUGCUUUUCCAGGUUUCAUACCCGAGACUUCACCCCCAACUCUGACACCCACAGACCUGCAGCCGCCCCAAAUAUCUCUCUAUAUUAUAUAUGACUGCAGACUUGCUGAUUGUGCCCAUACAAAGCUGAAAUGAAACCUCCCUGCCUCACAAACCAUUUCUGCCGCCAACUGCUCUCAGUGUGACUUCAGGAUGCCUCCGACAAAGCAGUGAACUAUGUCAGAUGAUAAUGCCUCUCCUGGUAUCUACCUGCUGCUGCCAGGCUCAUGAACAUAAGUGGGGGAAAUGUAAGGUCUGCUGUCAAACUGUGUAAAAGAGAAAGAGAGCACUUGACAAAAAGGCCUUCACACACUGAGAGGUGCACGGUUCCCUAUAUCUGUGUACUUUUAUUGGGAAAGUGUUGGAGCAUAAGCCGUCCAGCUGCUGCACAAACAACUGCUCCAAGAUUGGAGAGAGAGGGAAACGUUUGGACGAGUUAUGUAACGGUCUGUGGUAAAGAAAUGUGAUAGAAGGAUAUAAAGCCAGUCCUCCACAAGCCAACCACAACAACUCCAGGCUUCAGAACACACAAUACCUACACUGUCAGUAAAGGAAAACUACAACUGCGUCACAUCAGACAGCAGCUACACCCAACCAUAGCACUUUAACAGGUGAAGCCGACAGCACUGUUGGUGAGAAACAAAGAAAAUGAGUGCUACCCCCGACAGAAAUGACCAUGAAGGAUCACCAGAUGACCACAUCAAUGUCAACGACAACACUGGCGUUAGGAAAACGUCGGUGGUGUGGAGGUAUUUUGCAGAGUAGCAGAGUAAUGUGGACUGUAAAUUAUGUCGAGUACAUGUUCUCACAAAGUUGGGGAAUACCUCAAAUCUUUUUGAGGAGCCCAUGGUGCCUGUGCAGCCGAAACAGUCGACCAUUCAGUCCACUUUCUCUAGAGCAACGCCUUAUGACAAAAUGCCACAGAGUCACAAAGACCUCACAGAUGCUGUAGCUCAUUCUAUUGCAAAAGAUGUGCUACCAAUAAACACUGUUAAAUUUCAUUUUUUAUAUCGUGAUAUAAAAAAUCGAUAUCGACUGAUAUGAAUAAAAUACCCUAACUCUGAGUGAUAGUCGUAAUAUUGUGAAGAUUUGUGAGUCUCUUCUAAAAACUGUACAUGUUGUUGAUUCCUUGAUGUGUCCAUAGUACUUCAGGUCUAUGUUUAGGCUGCCUCAUGAAAGCCUGGAGAGCACAAUUAAAGAGUCUCACUCCUAAAGAAGUUAGCAGUACUCACCAAAUGGUUGGCGCCAAUGUCGCCAAUGUUAAUUCGCUGGAAGAAACAAUUCUGAGAAAUGCCUCUAGGUUGGCAUCGAGCUCCGACCUCCAGUCCUGAGAAAUGAGACCAAUACUGCAAAAUACUGCAGUUCAUGGAAAGCCUGACUGAGGCGGGAGCAGAAAAAAAAACACUGAGACGAAAAAACAUUUAAAACAAAUUUAGAGCAAAAAUAAACAUUUUUACAGGCUUGUUCAAAAAGUGGAUUUAGCUCAGGGUCAGAUAUAUUAAUUUAUUUAUAAUGUUUUAACCAAAAUAAUGAGGUUUAAUAAUUUCAUUUAAUAUUUUCUGUAAAGGUCUAAGUAAACUUUUUUAUAAUUAUCUGUUAACUUUGUUAAUGAUGAUUUUACUAUUGUUCUCUGUUUGCUGCUGUAACUCUGCAGAUUUCCCAGCCAUGGGGGAUUUUUAUUAACAAUAUUUUUGUUAUAAUAUCUUUUUUUAUGGUUUGAUUAAGUAUGAAUUUAAACCGACAAACUGGAGGAUAUGAUGAGGUCAAGGUUUUGAGGAUGCGUUCAGACGCCUCGGGUGUAAAGGUCACUUUCACACUCAGUCAGACACUUCGGUGACCCAGCCGUUCCCCUGACCUCCUUCCUAAGAACUUCUGCAGUCACGCUACGUCUGCCUUUGCUUAUGGGUGACAGCCAUUCUUAGCCAGGGCUUGUCAUGAGAAUUUAAAAAUAGACUACAUUAAACGCAAGUGAGUGAACAAAGGACGGAGGCUGCUGAGACGUGGACCGCACUGUGUAACAGCGAGUUCCUAAAUAAUAUAACAGCAGAAGGAAUAAGGAUAAUAAUAAUAACGAUGAUGAUGAUGAUUUAACGAGGUGAAGGAAGUUUGACACGAGUUACAUCACUGAGAAUAUUUUCAUAUAAACUGAAUUUAUGACGGCACAUGUACAAGAGUCACAAACUCAAUCAGCUCCAGUCAUCUCAUCCUAACUGAUAAUAUAUUCUGACUUAUAAUAAAAUCUGUUUAUUUCUGACCCUCAUAGAUAUAUAUAUAUAUAUUCAUAUAAAGAUACUGUAUAUCCACAGCAGGGACAGACUGAGAGCCUCAUCAGUACCAGCUCACAGGCUCAGAUCAGGGCCUUUCAUAGAGAGCUUUAGCUUCAGUUCAGAGGGUCUCUUUCUCUUUAUUUCCAGUGAUAGGCCAUCGUUCUUAUGUAACACCCCUGUGACAUUUUCACACUCCAUAGAAACGUCUUUAAAUAAAGCUCUGAAAUAGACUCUUAAGGCGCUGCGGCCCUUAAGAGAAGCUGUGUCGAUAAUAUCAACUGUAAUUGCCGGUGGACUCCGAUUUCUCCAACAUCUGUCUACGCCUGAAUUCCCUCAUGGCCAACAUUAUUGAUCACGCUCCCUGUCACUGCAUCACAUUACCAUCUGUCUAUACAUUUACCAUCAGGCUUUGUGCGCUAAGGUCAAUGCAAACGUGAGGGAAUAAAACUCCACCGUUUCAUCGGCGUUUGUUUGAAACAGGAGAAUAAAGAGGCAAUUUAUCAUCCGAUGAUACAUCUGUUAUCGUGGUUUAAUACAUUCAUAACUGCAGAGAGACUGUAUGUGCAAGGUAGGUAGGACUGCAUGAUAGUGGAAAAAGAGAGUAGAGGAAGAGCAAAUUGGUUUAUAUUGUAUAAGUUCAUUUCUGAGGUUGAAACUGAUUUUAAGACUUUAAAAGUAGAGACACUACGGAAUUGUUAGAUUUCACAAAAAAGUCGGUUUGUCCAUCCAAUCAGGUGAUUCCAGAUAGAUGCAUAAAUCCUGGACUGAGAGGAAGUGGUGACCGCGAGAUGUGACCGUCAUUUGUGGUGUGACGUGACCAUCGUGCACGCAUAUGUCGUAACUGCCUCACAAGCUAGCAAGCUUCUUCGUCUGCUUGGUCAUCUUUCCAGCAUUUCAAAGCGGGUGGUAAAAAGCGUCAAGAACCACAACCAUCCACCAGUAUGAUCCAGAAAGUUUGAUGUUGUCAGUAUUUCUUAUUCUUUCAGACAGUUAUGAUGGAUGCGGGUCGAGUACGGCGGCCUCAACACGCUCAGGUACAUCUGUAAUUAUUGUGCGUAUUUCCACACGGAUGUAAAUGUUGACCUCUCCUCAGGACACGGUAACGAAUCAGGACGCGCUAUAUAUCGCAGAUAAAACCACACACUCGCUCUACUGCACCCACAUCUGAAAAAAGGAGGAAACUUAAGACCGGUCUGGAUCUGUCUGAGCAGGGAAAAGUCGGUCGAACACGUUGAGAUUGUUUCCUAGAUGUGCUCAGAGGCACUCAAAGAAAGGACAAAAACGACUAAAAGCAGCACUCCUGCCUCCUCUCUGCAGCCCUCCUCUCCCCCGUGCCUCUUCCCUCGCCACGUUCAUCCUCCCCCUGCUGUCAGGAUGAGUGUCGGGCUCUCUGCUCUCCCAGAUGUUCGCUGGCAGGAGGAGGCUGAAUGUCUGUCAUCAGUCAGGACAAGUGACAGCCACGUCGGCGGCCUGUCACAGCUGCCGUUGCUCAGGUCACUGAAGGUGUCGCCAUCAAGCAAUGAUGCCGAGGCGAACGUCGCAGCAACCUCGCAGACAAUAAAAGGGGGACAAGAGGAGGUUCUGGUUUUUACAGUGAACCAGGAGGGAGGACUGGGACUGCAUAGACUUCUCACUUUAGGACCCAGAAGACCUUUUUCUAGGGUCAGACUCAAUGUAACUGAACACAAAUUAUCAAAUCAGACGUGUUUUCGUGAGUUAAACCACGCGUGGACAACUCUGAGGCAACUUCCACAGCAUACAGCAGCUUCAAGUCAUCCUCAAUGCCAUCCAUGCACAUCUAUAACAUCUAUUUCUGUGUUUCCCCUUAAAAUAAGUCCAAACUCAUGUGGACAGCACCUCACACACACACACACACACACAGAUCUGCCGUACAGUAAACCACCAAACCUGAGGGUCCGGUCCUGCAGGGCUUUGAGGAAGCCGUUCUCCCAAACAGGGUUACAUCAUCAUCAUCAUCAUCAUCAGGAGGAGGAAAAUGUCAUGACCCAAAUUUGACUGCAAAUGAAUCAUGAACGAUUUAGCAGAGAGGAUCUGAAGAUCGUGUGCAUCUUCAAAUGUUCUCGGCGUAUCCCACAGUGACCUCCCCGUAAACCCAGAGACACACUUCCUGUUUUUUUCUUUGUUUUCGACUUGAAUAAAGUCAGUCAGCGGCAAUAACUGCAAAAACACAAACAAGCAGUGUGAUGUAAAAAAUACAGAAUGAGCAGUCAGACGAGAGACUGAAGAAAAUCUGCUCUAGUUAAAGCUUUUUUAUUAUUACUCCAGCUGUGUUAGAUACUUGAUUCUGAUUGGUCAAAAUCCAACAACUCUGGUUAUUGAUUGUCAGUAGUGUUGGGCGGUAUGACAGUAUUUACAGCCACAUAGACAUAUAAGCAGUAGAUUGUGUCCUUCCAGAGGAGGAAAUCUACUUCUAGACUUCUAGAAUCAGCAUCUCCUCAUCCAUGGUGUCAUCGGGGUGAAAUGACGUCUAAAAACCUUUCACUUGUUCGUCUCCGCCCGUUUGCAUGGUGUGAAAUACGAUCCUCCUGAAACACGGAGUGUUUUAUUUUGAAAAGAAGCCGGAUGUUUUAUUUUGUGUCUGUGCCCGACUUCCUUUCCAGCACGGGUUAAUCUGUGCUGAAUUUAUCCGCCAUGCUCCGGCGUCCUGAAAAAAUAGAACUCUUGUGAUCCGCAGAGGAACGGAAAGAAGUCGGUGUAAAUUGACACGUUAACUUGAAUGUUUACGAUCAGCUACGAUCGGAGGAUACGACCUUUUAGGAGACAUUCUGGAUGCGAAAUUGGGGGUUAGCGUCCAGUUGUUCUCUUGAGUCCAUACCAGUUCACCUCAGUUUCAUCAAAGUUCAUAAAAACAGAUGAAUUGAAUAUUAAAUACCGAGUUUGUCGGUCAGGGUCAGGUCUGCAGGAUCACAGGAUCAAACCCACUCUCUCCUAAACCCACACUGUUGCUCUGUCAGGACGCCGGGAUCAUGAUUGUGGUUCUGAAAAGUUGACAUGACUUUCUGUAUUUGUCUGAGAACAGGCAGCUGCACUCUGAAUGUCGACACUUCCUCCACAAAUACGAUGAUACAGUAGCGUGGAUUUGCGGCGUAUAAUAGCACAGUGGGGGCGUUGAAAUAUGAAAUUGCUUGCUCUAAUUGCUGCCACUUUGGAACUUAAGCUGAGCAAAAGCAAUUUUUACUGAGAGAUUUAUGUCGAGGAGGAUCCACUACAACAGAGAGAAGUGACCGGACGAGCUGCAGCAGCUCAUUCCAGAGGAGCUCAGAUGAUGACAUGACUCAGAGUCUCUGGAAACUCAAGCAGCAUCUUACUGUCAUGGAGGUGGAUGAGAGAGAACAGUAACAGGGGAUUUCAGGACGGCAUCAUCAUCUUUGCAUUGAGGAAUAAUGUGACGAAGAGGAAGUUCAGCAGAGUAGAAAUAAAGGAAAGGAAGAAUUAAUCUCCUGUACUCUGGUCCUGUUCCUGAAAAGUAAACUUUUGGACCCCGCUUCACCGUCUUUGUUCAGAUAUUAUUUUAUCUACAGUCUAAAAAAGGAAAUAUAACGAGGUCUUCGCCUUGCUCCGGGUUGCAGAGGCUGCAGAUAAAAACUCUGGCGGUUCCUCCUUGUUGUGUUUAUUUUUGCUCCCUGCGGACUGAGCACAGGCAUGUCCAAAGGUGUGUUUGUAUUCCCUGAAGACAAUAAAAGGAGAACUGUACGGAUCACUGCACCAAGGUUGUGGUUAGGAGUCAAAGGCAAGUGAACAAGGUCAACUCUGACUUUCUUUGACUUCUUACUGCUGCCUGAAAAUCCCAACACUCUCCAGGGCCGAGAAAGAAAACGACUUUAGGAGGUUCGAUUUGGACUGAGAUCUGAUGUUACGUCUAAAUGACAAGAAAUCCUAAAAUUGAUCUUAUAUAACACAACACACUUUCCUGUAGGAAGUAACCGGCCUUUACAGAUCUGUGCUUUGUAACAUUAGCAUGAAGAGAAGUGGAGCUGCACCUCUGAACGCACCGCUAAAUUCUGCGCUGUUCCUCACACAGACUAUAUCUGCAAAAACGCACCUGAAGGACGCAUUUACGUUAAAGCUGUCCAAACAUGAACAGAACCAACCUAAAACUAACUUCACUGCGUAUUUACAGGAAAAUAUAUCCAACCUAAAACUAACUUCACCGCCGUGUUUACAGGAAAAUAUAUCCAACCUGAAACUAACUUCACCGCCGUAUUUACAGGAAAAUAUAUCCAACCUAAAACUAACUUCACUGCGUAUUUACAGGAAAAUAUAUCCAACCUAAAACUAACUUCACCGCCGUAUUUACAGGAAAAUAUAUCCAACCUAAAACUAACUUCACCGCCGUAUUUACAGGAAAAUAUAUCCAACCUAAAACUAACUUCACCGCCGUAUUUACAGGAAAAUAUAUCCAACCUGAAACUAACUUCACCGCUGUAUUUACAGGAAAAUAUAUCCAACCUAAAACUAACUUCACCGCCGUAUUUACAGGAAAAUAUAUCCAACCUAAAACUAACUUCACCGCCGUAUUUACAGGAAAAUAUAUCCAACCUGAAACUAACUUCACCGCCGUAUUUACAGGAAAAUAUAUCCAACCUAAAACUAACUUCACCGCUGUAUUUACAGGAAAAUAUAUCCAACCUGAAACUAACUUCACCGCUGUAUUUACAGGAAAAAAAACAUUUGUUGAUUUUUUUUUAUGCGCACAUGUGACCCUAAAUACAUUUUACAAUUCACACACAUCUAUUUUUAGUCUUAAAUGCAAGUGAAACGGUCACACUGUCGAGCCCUGGAAACUGUUUCGUGCUCAACAAUCGCUCUUUUGUCGUCACUCAGUUACUCACAAAAUACAAAAAUAUGUACUUUACUGAGUGAGAAUAACAAGGACAGUCUGAAUUAAAGAUGCAAAUGACAGAUUUGUUCACACUGUACUUAUCAAGGUACCAUCAUAAUAAAAAACAGACAUUAAUUUUGAAAUAUGUGUUACUAAUGUGGUUAUUAUUGAAGCUUGAAUGAAUCAGACAUGAACAAUAAUUAAGGCCGAUAAAGUCAAACAUGAACAUUAAUCGUUGAUGUAAACAGGUUUGAUCGUAGUGAGAUGAUUUUUGAUUAUAUCGCCCAGCUCUAAGUGACUGUAGGUCAUAUCUCCGUUGGUUUUAAUCUUAUUUUAAUUUUUUUUAAAUUUAACAUAUUGUAUAAUGUUCUGUAUUGUGUUUUAUCUAUACUGUAAGGUGACCUUGAGUGUCUUGAAAGGCGCCACAACAAAUAAAAUGUAUUAUUAUUAUUAUUAUGACCAGAAUGGCACAAUUAUGGACUAGAAAUUAGAUAAUUUACAUAUAUUUUAGACUGAGUGUAAAACCGUCAGUCUGGUGAGUCUGGUCCACAGAUUGUUCUCUUGUCUCUGUAACUGAAACAUCUCUGAUUGAACAGGGAUGAAAUUAACUCAAAGUACUGGAUGACAAUAAAUGAGUGGAUGUUAUAUAACCAGCGCUGUUAUAUAAUACAUGAUCUUUAAAAAUAGUUGGUACUACUUUCAAAUCAUGGGCCGCCCACCUGCUCAGAGUUAAAGAGAGAUUUAUGAUUAAAGUCAAACAGAACAAACACAUGCCAACAUGUCAAAGUGCAGUCUAUCCCAAUUACUGCAGAGGAUGGAGUCUGACUCCGGAGCUGAGACAGUUUAUUAAAAAGUACAGGACAAACAAACCCAACCUGAGUGGGCACCAAAGAAAAGAGAGCAGAGAGGGAGAGCUUUGAGAGUCGACCACAGAGUGAACUCUGCUACAAAUGAGGAACUAUUGUGUGCUUUUUUCCACAAUGUGUUCAUGAAUUUCCACAAUGCUUUUUUUAUUGCUGCUCUAGGGUUCACUGGCUCAUGAAACUUUCUAAGCACACAAAAGACCGAAGAACCUUUCAAUCCCAGAAAGAAAGAAAGACAGAGGGGGUAAAAAUCAGCGCUGAAAUGUUUUCCCAAGACGACAGGAGAAAGCAAAUGAGAGAUCUGAAAGCUAAGCCAGCGGUGUCAACACUAAAAACUGUCCAUACUAAUGACUUCCCACAGGGAGUCUCCACUUUAUUCCUUCUCCGUUGUCAGCACAGUCACCCAUUCAACUGCAGGAGAGCCGUCUCACUUCCACUCCCGAGGAACGCUCGGCAUCGCAUUUCCAUCCUGAUUUGCAGCCGAUGUAUAAACCCGUCCUUGUCUUCUAUUUAAAUGUAAAACAUGGAGCUAUUCAGAGCAUGCAUGGAGCUGCUGCAGAGACACUAAUCAGGAACAAUGUACCUGCGGGGGAGCGCUGACACCCUGUUUAAAACAAUCCGAUUAUAUUGAUGUGUUUAUUUAUCCAAUGUGCUCAGGGUCAUCAUCGCUCAUGCUUGUCAUCCUGCACCUCCAGCGCGCUCCGUCUUCACUCCAAUCUUCUCCUCUUUUGUUUAGGACCACACCUUCUCCGUUUGUUAGCAGCCUGUUCAUCUCCCUCACUGUCCCGGCCUUCAUCGCUCAUGCACUCCUUCUCUUCUCGCUGACGUCCCUCCUCGUCUUCGCCCACCCCUCCUUUCCGUUCAGAUCACUCGGCUCCAUAUCAGCCUCCUCCUCCUCCCUUUGGAUCACCUCCUUCUUUCCUCUCCUCUCUUCCUCUCCAUCAUUUCAUCCUCCCUUUCCCUGAGACGUGCUGAUGGUGGGCUCUGCACCCCCCACCCCCCCUCUGUCAAACUUGUGAUAAACGUCUUCUCCUCCCACUGAUACACGGCUAAUACCUCCAAAAAGUCAAAUACAUCACGUUAACCAUCAUGGCGAGUGUGUGUGUGUGUGUGUGUGUGUGUGUGUGAAGGACUGAUGUCAGGUAGAGUCUGCUGUCUCAGCAGACUGACAUCUGGGUAAUGAAGUCCUGAUGAUCCUUCUGGAGUGAGUGUCGCUCUGCUGAGAAUAGAUGCACGCCGCCAUAACUUAACGCAGCGAUUCCAGCGAGCAGCGGUGGCGGCGGGCGGACUGAUGGCCCCCAGGCUUGUUGAGACUGUAACUGCCACUUCUGGUUAACGACGAAUCAGAGACGGGACUCAGACGCUGGUUAACCCACUUUCUAACUCCACACACUGCCUGGAUGAUCAUAUCAUCGCUGAGUAAUGUGUGACGGCAGAAACGACCAUGAUCUGUUUCAUGACGACACGUUAACGCCAACGACGCAGACUUCAACGCUCAGCUGGAUCAGUGACCAACAGCUCUUAUGAGCGGACUAACCCCCAAUUUCCACCUUCAUCCUGAUCGUCUCCUAAAAGGUCGUAUCCUCCGAUCGUAGCUGAUCGUAACCAUUCAAGUUAACGUGUCAAUUUACACCGACUUCUUUCCGUUCCUCUGCGGAUCGCCGGACUCCUCAGCUGAUCACAAGAGUUCUAGUUUUUCUGGACGCCGGAGCAUGGCGGAUAAAUUCAGCACAGAUUAACCCGUGCUGGGGUUUGUUUCUCCAGAUGUAACAAAGAGUGUUGAUGGGAACAAAUACUGGUUUCCAGUUUGCUUGUUGUUCUUGUUCUGGACGUCUUCUUCUCCAUCAUCAUUUAACUCCUCCCACUUUCCUUAACGCUGUCUUGUGUGAAACGGCGUGUGCGGCCCCUCUUUGGUGUCAUGUUGGAAAUUGCUUGGGUUUUUCCUCCGCGACAAUCAAUUUGGCUGUUUUUCACCAUUUCUGACGGACUAAAUCAAUGUGACAGGAGCACUCGCUCUCGCUUAGGUGGAAGAUUUUACACUGUCAGAGGAGGAUUUUUCUGCUCUCCUAGCAAACAAAAGAAAAGUGUCUGCCGACGAGGGCAGAGCGGGCGCAUGAAGUGUUAGAAAUCAGACAGCGGGGGACACCCAGGAUGACAGGAAGGACAGGAUUUAAGGAGAGGAGGAGUGCAGGUGGGAAUAAAGUGCUGUACAGAAGUGAACAUGAUGUGAUGAGAUCAUAAACUGUAGAAAUGUAAAUCGGACUCUCCUGAGGUUGAGACUUUCAGGCCCUGAGCGUUAAAAUGAAGGUCUGAUUGACAUGCUUCUGGUGUAACAGAGUGGAGGAUUAUGUUUUCACACCAACUCUGAGUAAACCUGGAAGGUUGAACUGAGAGUUAGUGUUGCAGGAAAACACAACACACACACACACACACACACACACACACACACACACACACACAGGAGUCACAAGUCUGUCUAGUGUUAUGAACGUUCAGAUCCAACACCUCACUCGUCCUGACUGCUCCGCCUCCCUGUGCCUGAAACGCUGAGCCCGGUCACGUCAGAGGCUAAAGUUACUGUUACCACGGUUACCAGGUCUUCACCAACUUCACCGUCCACCUUUUACUCCUGCACAUGCAGGGCGCUCUCUGCUCUUCGGUCAAAAAUCGAUGAUGUGAUGAAAACAGAGGAAGUAGGAAGUAAGAGGAUCAUGAUGGACUUUAUUUAUUUAAUGUUCAGAUGGAUCAGAGGAGACUCGGGGUCGACUGAACGUUCAUGGAAGUCCAGCUGCUGUUCAACCAUCCUCACUCUCCAUCAUAUACUUUAUUUUUGUAUCCAUCACAGGGCUUGACACUAACUAAGGAGUACUAUUAUUACUAUUAUUAGAAAUCAAUUUUAGGUCUUUUGGUCACAUGACAUGGAAGCUAUUGUGAGAACAGCCUUUUCUGAGAACAUCAACCGGUAAUUUAUUGACGGUCCCUUAUUCAACACCCGACGUUGACAGUGAGGGUGUCGAGUAGAUUUAACCGCGCUGCUGUUGUUAUUCCCGGUUAUGGAGAGUGAGAAGACAGCGGUAGAUCCUCAGAGAAUGUCCGUCAGAUAUCCAACCUGAAACUAACUUCACCGCUGUAUUUACAGGAAAAUAUAUCCAACCUAAAACUAACUUCACCGCCGUAUUUACAGGAAAAUAUAUCCAACCUAAAACUAACUUCACCGCCGUAUUUACAGGAAAAUAUAUCCAACCUAAAACUAACUUCACCGCCGUAUUUACAGGAAAAUAUAUCCAACCUAAAACUAACUUCACCGCCGUAUUUACAGGAAAAUAUAUCCAACCUAAAACUAACUUCACCGCCGUAUUUACAGGAAAAUAUAUCCAACCUAAAACUAACUUCACCGCCGUAUAUACAGGAAAACAUAUCCAACCUAAAACUAACUUCACAGCCGUAUUUACAUCUAUUUUUAGUCGCACUGUCGAGCCCCGCCAUCACACAUUUUGAAUUUGUCAUCUUUUUCUGCGUAUUCUAUGAUAAAAACACAAAAUCCCAGAGUUUAACCUAAUGCCUGUUUAUAUAAAAUCAUGUGAUCUUUUUAUUUUGGGGUACUAACCACAUUCACUUUUACUUUAGCAUUAGUUUCUUAAAGCUGGAACUGGACCGUCCUCCCGCCCCAGUAAACCAGAAUACCGCCCCCUUUAAACGCUCUCCAUAUAGACAAAUUUAAGUUUAAUGCUAACUGAUAGUACUGUGGAUUUCUUUCCUGUAAGAGUUUUUUCUGUGUGAAAAUAAAAAGCAAUAUUUUCCAGUCAAUCUAUUUCUGCACAUAUCCAGACUGUAUGGACCCCAUGAAUAAUUCAUAGUGGGGCUCUUUAGUCCCAUGCACCAUUUACUGCAUGCUUCAUUACGACUGUGGGCUCAGCUGGUGCCGAGCCCCUUCUUUAAUAUUAGCCGGAGCACUAGUUGACAUUCAUGUGAGCCUCCGCUAAAGCAGGGGCACGAGGCUUUAAAUCACUGUCAGGGCUCCACACAGAGCUGCACACAUAACUUCUGACUCCACUCUGUUGGUUAGGAGCAACAGCAGAUGAUCUGGACUUAAGCUAGACAAAUAACUGCCCUCCACUUCCUCCCCCCCUCACCCUCCUCACCCUCCUCCCAGUCUGCUCCGGGCUGCUUUAGUCAAUAUCCGGUCCUGCUUUUCCUACUUCUCAUUCCUGGCCUCUCCCUGCUCAGCCCUUAUCUCUCUUCACUCUUUAUUGCCCUCUUCAUCUGAGGGCUGUUGUUUAGAUUGACAUCUGCCACGACGGCUGAUAAAGACCAAACCGUCCCUCUCACGACCAUCAAAAUCCAAUUCUUGGGUAAAGACGGGAUCAUGCUGUGACGAUACUUCCUCGAACUCAUCAGGCUGCAGAUUACUGCAACAAAAAAAGAGCAGAAUUCAUGAUGAUCUGGACAAAGAGCUGACCUCCCCACCAAAUGGACCACUGCUGUCGAUCAGCUGCUGUCCUUCAGCCCCGUAUCAGGCUGAAACACACACACACACACACACACACAGUGAAGCACUGGAGCACUAACAUGUCAGCAUAAUGAAAUUAGACAGCCUCGUUUGUGACGCUGCAUUGUCCUUGUUCAUCGGUGGCACCGUUCCCACCACACACGGCCUCCUCACCCUGUCCGGAGCUGAGCGACCAGGAUAUUGCUAAUCGCUCACAAUAGAAGGAUUAGCAAGCAAGGACAAUAGGGAUCUAAAUGUCAGAGGCCAGCACCUGCCCUAAGCCCUCUCUGUCGGACAACAGUUAAUGGGCAGCAGGCGGCGGGCAAAUUGUGAAGCGCCGCUCGAAAGAGGAGGCGGGGAGAGGAGGCCUCCGGAGAAAACUGAUGUACAUACAGCUGAAGACAUUUAAAUUUACGACACAUGUCCACAGAUUAAUGUUGGAUAAUAAUCUGAAAAUAUGACAUUUAUAUACUCAGGGAUAGUGAGCACCGCCCACAUUUAAUAAAAGGGAAAUGAAUAAAAACUAAAGUUUAAUUCAGAAAUCAGACAUUGGAUUAAUUCUAAAUCAUAAACCUGAAUUCUCAUUUCAUGAAAUUCCACCUCUGAAGAACAUUAAGGUACAUACUAACUAAACAAGAGGGUACUUUGUUUACAUUCACAUUUUAACUAAAUACUUUAUGUACAUUAAUACUUCAUUUACAUUCUAACUAAUAUUUUGUUCACAUUUUAAUUUAACCAGAUGGCACUUUGUUUACAUUUAGAGUUUAACUGAAUACUUUGUUUACAUUAAUACUUUGUUUAUAUUUUAACUUAACCAGAAGGUAGUUUGUUCACAUUUUAACUAUAUACUUUGUUUAGCUUUUUACAUAACCAGAGGGUGCUUUGUUUACAUUUAUACUCUUUUUACAUUUUAACUGUACCAAAGGGUGCUUUGUUUAUAUUUAUACUCUUUUUACAUUUUAACUGUACCAAAGGGUGCUUUGUUUAUAUUUUAGCUUGUUUACAUUGGUAAUUUGUUUACAUUUAACUUAACCAGAGGGUACUUUGUUUACAUUUUAACCUCAUACUUUGUUUACAUUUUAACUUAAUGCUUUGUUUACAUUAAUACUUUGUUUAUAUUUUAACUUACCCAGAGGGUACUUUAUUUACAUUUUAACUUAACAAGAGGGUACUUUGUUUACAUCUUUAGAAAAACAACAACAACCAGAGGUAAUUUGUUUUUUUUUUCAAAGUCCAUCUUUGGGGCGCUUUGUUAACAUUUAAUAGCUCAGAAAAUGCAGCUACAGGUGCUUUAUCCACAUUUAUGCUUUAUGGUAUUUUUCACGUGAUUAUCACUGUAAGGGCACCAGAUGAGCUUUUUUUGGUCCUUCAUCCAGUUUAAAACAUCUAAGAGUGCACUUAUGUGUUAUUGUUCAAACAUGGCCAUGGGGGGGCAAAGGGAGGUUUGCCCUUCUACUCCCUCUCUAAGCACGCCACUGCUGCCCCCCUCAGGCAGAAGGACCAGAUAGUCAACACAGAUGUGAAUGUAAAUGAGAUGCACGAUGAGUCAAAGUGGGAAUGCCGAGUAUUGGUGAGAGGCUGAAUAGCUUCGUAUAUCAUCCAACUAUAAAAGUCAUUUCUCUCUUAAUGUCCAAAUUAAGUCCAAGUGAGAAGCGAGCGAGUGAAAAAUGCCGCCAUUCCAGCAGACUUCAGGACCAGCUGAGUUUCUAUGAAAUUCCUUGAGCGUGUUUUAUGAAGCUCCUUUUUAUACCGAGGUGUUUUCACUUCCUUCAGCCGUCGUACUGCUUCAGCUGCAGCACUUCCAUUAAUUUGUAGCUUAGCCUUCAGCUAAACAAAACACUACCACUGCUGCAAUUUAAUAGGCAAGGCACAGCGCUGUAGAGAGAGCGAAUGAUGUUGAGUGUCACUGGUAUAAAAAUCAUUGUCUCAUAAUAGCUGACUCUCAGGAGAAAGCUGGUAUUCUUUACUGACUGCCUGCCUUCUUCAAAGCAAGGGCAAAGCUGUUUUGAGAAACACUAAACGAAGUGUUUUUUCACGCAGAGCAACCCUACAGCCAAGAACUUUUUCAGAUGCCACACUCGAGCUUUUCUCUCCAUUUCCUCUUGCAUACAUUUCUAUAAACCCACCGAGCGCGGCCUUGGCUUCUGAAGGUAAUUGUCUCACCCUCGCUGCUUCACUUACAGUGCAGAGCAAGCACAGGACUAAUCUUAUCAGUGCAUGCAGCUCUCUACAAGCCAGACACCUUCAAUGCCAGCUCUCACCUCCUGAUCAAUACAGAUCAGUCCUGGGGAAAUAUGGAGAGCUGUUAUCAGCUGAGAGUGAUAAUAAACGUCGACUAUCUCCAGAGUUACACAGGCUGACAGCUCAGGUGGGCUGUGGAGAACUUAGUCAAACUUAUUACUGUUCGUCUUUUAAUGAACUGAGCUGCCACCAAAGGGAAGACAUCGCUGUGUUGUCCCACAUUACUACAAUAAAAGCUCCAGACACAGCAGCUUCCAUACCUAAAAAACAGUCACGGAAACAACAUCCAUCUUCAUGUCAGAAAAAACCAACAGUUCCUUAUUAAAGACCUUCAGCCAGGAAGUCAGUCAGCCUUGUUUUACCUCCUCUGACUGUGAGGACCUUAGUCGUAAAAGUAAUGUUCAGCACAGUAACACAAAGAAAUAAUCCAAAUGUCAGACAGAGCAGCGCUGCUCCCGCUAACCCAACCUCGGUCCACUAACACAGUCUUAUACAUCAACACUGGGCCCACCCACCCACCCAGCUCCCAUGAUGCUUUACAACAACCAGCAAACAGUGGUGGUUCAUUUAUGUCGAUGAUGAUGUUUCAAUUUCUUCAAUUAAAGGGAUAUCCCGGCAUAAAAUUAAUUUAGGGUCAAACCCACCGUAACACAGUUAGACCCCCCCUCCAGAGAUGAAUGUUGCCGACCGCUUGCUUCUCUAGUUAUACCAACUUUAGCAACGACCCCAGGAUAGAAAUACAGAGAGCCACGCCCUCAACCAAAACGCCACUCUAUAGCCACAAAUAAUGCUCAGAACAGCACCUAACUUCAUCAACAGGACAUAUAGGGUCACAGACAUAGUACUAGACACCAAACAUCUUUUUAACUUUGACUCAUUUCUUUAGCAAAGAGACUAAACACAACUCACCUACUCUCUUCCAGCAGCUGCUUGUUUGUAGUGAGACCUCAGGCUAGUCCAUUAUGGACUACAGCGGGGUGACGCAGCUCAAGGAAGAACAUUUAUGAUCAAAAUACAAACCGUGCGUUUCUGUUCCAGCCUGAGCGAGUAACAAAGAUUCGUCUCUUUUUUUACUUCCUUUAGUUUUCUCCUGUUUGACUUCAGGUCAGGCUCAGACUAGUUCUGGUCCCGUUGAGGUGAAAGCAUGCAAAAGAAAACUGACCCAGAAUCACAUCAUGGGUUUGUUAGUCGGACUAUGAUUACAACUCAGUCAGACUGGAAUGUUUUCUCAUUUUUUAAAGUCCAGGUUCAGUCAAAAGGACGCCAUAUAUGGACUCCUAACAUCUCAUAAACGGACUGUGACAAAAACUUUUCUUUCCAACAUGAAGGAUAUUUUAAUUAGUGGGAGGUGAAGUUUAAAAUAUAAUCAGAGACAGUUAUCAUAACCUAACUUUAUGUCACCCUACUAGGGGCGGGUCCUUGGUGUUCUCGCCUGUCAGUCAAGUCAUUUGUGCCUCUGAUUCGAUUACAUUGAAUCAAACUUGGGCUCUCUGAGCUACGCCAACUUGAACAUUUUGCAUACAGCCUCCAGUGGACACUGAGAGAACUGCAGUUUUUAACACUUACCUGAUCAGUCUGACAUCUACCUGACGUCGGAGGUUAGAAACAUUCAAAACUGGACACUGACCAUCUGCUCUGCUUUUGUAGGUUAUGUGGAAACAGCAGCAGCAGCAUUAGUUCCAGCCUGUUUCAUAACCUCCUGAAAACUCCUCACAGGAGCUUUAAACCGUCAUCACGUGCAGAGAUGUGACCCACUUCAGAUCCUGCAGCAGAGCGUCUAAAUAAACACGAUUGUGGUUCAAAAGAACGAGCAGAGAGGUUUGAUGGAGAAUGAUCUUCACAAUCACACGUCAGAGUCCAGUGAUAUCAUUGACAUACAUCGACUUUUAAUUACCCGCAGAGUCUAAGUGAAGCUGACACCUUCAUAAUGAGCUCAUGUGUCCAGGGAGCUCAUUUGACACGGUGAUAAUGUGUCUGCAUAAUAUGAUCGGCUGUCUCAACAGUCACCUGUCAGUCAAUCUCACAGAUUAGCAUCAGAGUCCCCCUCAGGGACCGCUCUGAAGUCGACUUUAAAGCCAUCUAAAAACAUGUCCAUACUGCCGAUGGUAACGUCUGCUGUAUUCAUGAUUCAGACAAAAUCAGAGUUAUUGUUUUUAUGAAACAGGUUUGAGGUUAAAAACGUCUGACAAACCAUUAAGAGAUGAACGAGUGUUCACAUUCAGGAGACAAAAACCCUUAAAGGUGGUGUAGUCAGGAUCUGAUGAAGUUCCAGUUUUCAGGAGAAAUCUUGAAUGUAAACUCUACCCCACCCAACUCGCUCGUAUCGUUCCAAUUAAAUUCAGAUAUAAUGCAGAUAAAUACUUCAGAUCAUUACAAAUGGGGCCCAGUCAAGGUGAAAGUCAAAAGCAUUGGUGCUACUGUAGAUGCCAACAGACUACCAGCAAACACAAUGUUUGCAGGACUUCUACAACGAGGAUAAAGUGACAUAGUCCAGGACCCGAGGGAGGACAGUUUAGCGAUGGCGCUACAACACGCUACAGCAGGUCCGUUUGACAAGAAACACUUCUGUUACAGACACUUGUCUUACUUUGUUAAAGCGGUUUACCUGUCCAGCAGAAAGGUUACAGGGUCACCAAGAUCCCCAAGCGUCCCCCAUGGUUUAUGUUGACCCGGCUUUUUAGCUCUUGUCCGGUCUACCUCCGUUUUAAGCGCCCGUUAUUCCUCCAGAGUCUCCGGUAUUUACUUUGUUUUCUCGCUUGUGUCGGCAGUCGUGGCCAAAGGAGGAUUCAGACAAUUUUCCGAACUUUCUGGUUGGUUUCUACUGUCCGAUAUUGUAGCACGCUAACUUUGUUUGGGCUCCUGAACGACACGGGGGAGCAGCGUCUGCCUCACAACCAAUCAGGUUAGAGGAGGUGGAGAACGGCUUUGUUUACAGUCAGAAAGAGCGGACCGCUCAAAAAUGUUCAAAUGUUGACGACACAGACAUAAGAGAACACAGAGAUAUCGAUAUAUUACCAAAUGUCAUCAAUAACUAAUAACUAUUGACUGAUAUUAGAAGAUUUUUUGUAAAUACACUACAAAAAUAUGCUUCUUAAUGCUUCUUUAACGGAUUCCUGUCUACUCCACCUUUGCGAGGACUCAGGGUUUAAAUAUUCACUGAACAAAUGGAUCACGCUGUGUCGACACUUCCCGAUAUAAGAGAAAACAGAGGAAGCAAAGGAUCAUGGGAAGUGUGAAAACAAAGUAAACACACCAAAACAAAAAUCAACCAUUUCCCCUCUUCUUCUCCUGCAUGAAGAGAGCGUGAUCUAUCAGAGCGCUCAGAGGAAAUCCUGAGUGAUGGGUUACGUAGACCCCCAUCAGUGGAUCCACACGUGUACCCAGGAGCUGCCAGCACUUGUGUGAUAUUAAUGUCAUCUGCCUUUUGUAGUCGGACUUGGAGGUUCAGAUCACGCUUCAGCUUUGCCUCGGUCGUGACUGCAGGGUCUUACGUCUCCGAAAAGACAGAAGAAGAACAAGAAGAAGAAGAAGAGGAGGAGAGGCUUGUUGGGCUUUAGUUCCAGCAGGCACAUGUCAGAUGCACCUCACUUCCUGCUAUAAACCGGGAUGAGUCUGCUGCUCGCCAGAGAGAGAAAAAAAGGUCAUUUGGCAGCGCUCUCGGCAUUUCACAGCAAUAUUUCUUGCGUAUGAAGUGGUAAAUGGGGGCCUUAACUCACAGAUGGCACGUACUCUGGUGAGAGUCAUAAACCGCCUGCUUCCCGUGAGGGAUUUGUUUGUGUCAAGCACCUGAUACACAUCCAGGGUGUCUUUGAUAAAUCCUGACGGUGGCCGGCAAAUUCAAAGUGCUCAUGCAUGACGGCGAGGUCGACGUGUGAGCAAACACGCCAAACAAACAGCACAAGGUCGUUUGUCUCAGAUACCGACCAUAAAGAAUACUCUGAGUACUGCUGUUGACAGGACGCUGCUUUGGUUAUUACUGCAUCUCUGUGUUCGUACUCAAAGUCUGGAGCAGACAGGAAACUGUGUGUCCGUCAGAUUUUAGUCCGACGCCUUCAGCAUGGUCGGCCUCAAGUAUACAAGAAUAUCAAAUAUCAGAGAUCUCUGGAAUCAGCUGGUUUCAGUAACUUCUCUGUUGGUGCCGCAGUGCAAGUGCAGAAAACUGCAGUUCCUUUCGUGUCCACUCGGGGCAGCAAAGGAAUACCCAUUAGAGCUUAUAUUAAAAUGUUCCUUUUUUUUUUUUUUCACAACUGAAUAAAUUGUAGUUCAUUAUUUGAUCUCUCUACAUCCUUUUUUAUAUUUGUUACCUGUAACUAGGGCUGGUCAAAAAAACGAUAAUGUUAUAUAUCCAAAAUUAAUUUCCCUCAAUAUCUGUAUGAAACAUGGUCAAUAUGCUUUUCAAUAGUCGUCAUUCUGACAUGUUUUGGUCGACUAUACGAACAGCCAAUGAAAAGGGGAGUGUCUCCGGGUCUGAACCAAUCAUGUUCUGAAUUAGAACCAAGUAUCAACCAACUGCAGCGUCGUAGCAGACAGCAGCUCCACCCAACCAUAGCACUUUAACAGGUGAAGCCGACAGCACUGUUGGUGAGAAACAAAGAAAAUGAGUGCUACCCCCGACAGAAAUGACCAUGAAGGCUCAACAGAUGACCACAUCAAUGUCAACCACAACACUGGCGUUAGGCAAACGUCGGUGGUGUGGAGGUAUUUUGGUUUUUGGAGGUCGGACAUGAAGCAGAGUAAUGUGGACUGUAAAUUAUGUCGAGUACAUGUUCUCACAAAGUCGGGGAAUACCUCAAAUCUUUUUCACCACCUGAAGCAGCGCCACACCGCAGAUUUUUAUAUUCUGAACUCCAGGUUUUCGAAUGAUUUGGUCCGAACACUCUUUUAAUACACAUGCAAUGAGUUGAACUUUGACCUUUUUCCAUUUAUUUGUUUCGCGCUCUUUGAGUGAAACCAACAGAACAGGCCCGUUUCAGGAGCAGACGUGUAAUCAGAACACGGGACAGAAGUGUUAGAAUCAGGUCUGAGUGAGAGUGAAACACCUGCAGAGACAGAUGGAUGUCAUCGUUCUCUCUGUCAACAGGUUUCAAAACAACGAGCUUUAAACAGAAGUCAGAAUAAUCAAACACACACACACACAGCUGAUGAUCAAAACAGUCAGAUGAAUAUUUCUACUACAUCUGUGAGUACCUUCAUGUUUCUCAGAUUAUAUCCUGGUGUUGUUUCAGGGUCGUGAGUUUUUACUCUGAUUAUUUCAUCCUAACACAGCCCACCAGGACCGCCCUCAUGAUGUCCUCCCAUCAUUUAAAGUCUGGAGACACUCCACAUUUUCCAUUGAAGCCGUAUUGACAGGAGGGGCGGGCGUGUCAUCAGCACAGAUGGCGGCUGAUUUCUACAAAAAGGAAAUUAAUGUUCCAGUAAUUUCCUUUUUUUGUUGAUUUGUUUUCGAUGGGAGUCAAAUUUCUGCCCAAAGGGAGUCAUGAGGACAUGUUCAGCUGCAGCCUGUGGGUCUGUCCUGUUGCUUAGAGAGCCAUUCAUCAACAGGAAGACACAGAAUCUAACCCUUCCUGCCUCUUCAUCGUUGGCUGACCCUGACCUUUGACCUCCCUGUGGAGGGUAACCUCAAUUGAAAGCAUCAAUAACAGAUCAAAUUACUGACUUUACGAGAGGUCGUAUAUUUGUCUCUCCAUCUCUGUCUCAUCUUUUCCAGCCAAACCUCAAGUCUCAGACUGACCCGCUCCAGACCAGCGGUCAGGAAACAAAUACUCCAUCUGUGACAACCGUGGACUAGACCAAGAUCUUCAGCCGUCAGAAGAGACUUACUACACUGAUCUGGACUUGAAUAUGUAGGGCUGGUCAAAAAAACGAAAAUGAUAUGUAUAUCCAAAAUUAAUUUCCCUCAAUAUCAAGAUAAAUCAUGGUCAAUAUGCUUUUCAAUAGUGGGCAUUCUGCCAUGUUUUGGUAGACUAUAUGAAAAGCCAAUGAAAAGGGGAGUUGUUCUGGGUCCGCUUCACUGUGAACCAAUCAUGUUCUGAAUUAGAACCAAGUAUCAAACAACUGCAUCACAGCAGACAGCAGCUACACCCAACCAUAGCACUUUAACAGGUGAAGCAGACAGCAGAAAUGACGAUGAAGGCUCAACAGACGACGACAUGGUCCACAACACUGGCGGGACGAAAACGUCGGUGAUGUGGAGGUAUUUUGGUUUUUUGAGGUCGUACAUGUAAAUUAUGUUGAGUACAUGUUAUUGCAAAGUCGAGGAAUACCUCAAAUCUUUUGGAACGCAAAAGGUUACAAACCCCGAGAGGAGCGAGGAGCCCAUGGCACCUGUGCAGCCGAAACAGACGACCAUUCAGUCCGCUUUCUCUUACGACAAAACGUCAGACACAAAGACCUCACAGAUGCAGGAGACUAUUGUAUUGGAAAAGACAUCCUACCAAUAAACACUUUUAGAUUUCAUUUUUUAUAUCGUGAUAUAUAUCGAUAUCGACUGAUAUGAAAGAAUAACGUCUCCUUUAAAAAAGAGGCUUCAAGGAUCACCAGAGAGUUUCUAGAGCCGUACUGUGAGGUGAACAAAAACCACAAAUGCAGACAGAAGCAAUCAUCUGAGAUCCUGAGGAGAGCAGAGAGCUGGUUUGGAGGGGAGCUCCUGCUCCGACCACAGAGAUGUGAAAUGAGAAGAAGAAUCUCACUUAAUGGCCGGAGCCGGAUGAUUGAAUUUCAGGAGACUCGGAGGCUCUGGCUAUCAAUUUAGGCUGAAAUGAUCAAUACAAAAAUGGCCGCUCCGCUGAGAGAGAGAGGCUUUCCUGCACCAAAAACAAAAACACGACUAUUUAUCACAACAGUUCCAGUUUGGAAAAACUUCACUAACAAGCUGCGUUUUAUUUUGAAAGGACACAGUCUUAACUUCCCUCAAAGACAGAGGUCAAAAUAUGACAGCAUAGAUUGAAGCGUGGUUAUGAUCUCAUAUUUAUGAUGUACAGAGGACUGAGUUUGAGAGUUUUAUCUUUUUAUUCACUCAGGAUUUCGCUGAGGGCCACACAUUAUCAAAAUCCCCUGACCUUGGUGAGAGAAAUGUUCAAUUUUCUUGGAUUAGAUAGAAAAUGUUCUCACGCAGUUUUGCGCUGAGCACGAGCCAAUUAAGUGUUUCCUUCUUUAAUCGGAGAGACCUGAAGUACAAUGGAGCGAUUUAGAUGUAAUAUCUUGACCUUUGAAAGACGUUUUCAAAAGGUCAGAUUUUAUGGGGGGGAAAUAUUCUCAUUAAUAAAAGAAGCUUUUUAGUCGAGCGAGCGGGAUCGACCUAAAAAUGUCAGACCUUUUUAAAUUAAAGGGCGAAUCAGCGCUGCUAUUAUUUUCUUUGUGUAUUUAAACAGAAAGGAAAUGUGCAACCGUGAGUAAACACAGCCACUUUCUUAUGUAACCCUGUAACUGUGGUUUUAUUUGAAAUGAUCAAACCGAGAGGUAAAAAAUAAACAUGCUGGAGUCUGUAUUUACAUAUGAACAGCUGACUAAACCUGUGCUCCAUUUAGAGACAAAUGCAGAAAUAUAACCAUUUUUUUAAAGAGCAGCUUCUCCUGCAGUUUCUCUCUGAGUUUGGUUGACUUUAAUGAAACCAAAACUCGGUUUAUAACCCUCCUUUAGACCUUUAUUCAGCAGACUGCUUCAUAAAUUCACUUCAUACUUGUAUAUUUUUACACAUUCUGAGUAUUUCUUUAAUACGCUCACGGUGCAGCAGGUUUAAAACGGGCUUACAGGUGCAGAGCUGCUGAUUUCAGAGCGAUCCAUUAAAACACUGACAGCUGGAAAUGAUCCCUGUUUUCUUAAUGAAAGUUAAAACACUGAUUGUUUUUUGAUGAUGCUCGUCCUCCCAUUUAUCAAAAUCAGACCAGAAUGCACGUGUAAUUCACAUUAUCUCGGUGAAUUCAUUAAUAACGUCGUCACUGCUGGAAAAUAACAGCAUCUCUGCUGAUCGACCGCGUUCGGAGGAAAACUCCAACAGUGAUUGUUUGUAAGAACUUUUUAUUGGCUGAUGAAUUUUUAUUUUUUUCACUAACUUUAUAAAAACACUUUUUUUUCUUGAUGUUUUCUUUAGUUUGUUAGUUUAGUUUGGGCCAAGCUGAACUUUGACAAUGAUGAGUGAAUUAGCUCCUAUUUACAUGUAAGAUUUAUGUUUAAAACAUCACUGUAGAAACAGCAAGACUGAAUAAACCAUCUGUUAUUACUGGAUGUCAGUCACAUGACCCUUUUAUACCCCUUUAAAAUGUAAUACCCAUCUGUCUGGGUGAGAAAAAUAAUGCUAUCUGAAGAAGUAUCUGGGUUUAGAGUUUACUUAUUUCUCUGAAGUCCUCAGAAAAUAUGAAAAUUUGUAUUUUCCUGCUUUUUAUAUCCACCUAGUCCCAAAAUAUGAAAGUUUCUCGUUACGUCACUCCAGGGCGGGAAAAUGAUCCUUAAGUGGCGUGUGAAAGUUUGAUCUUGAUUAGAAGGACCGUACGUUUCUGAGCAUUCAGGAGGUUAAACUUACAUUGUUUUAAUGUUCGCUAGCUGGUUAUUUAAGUUACAUCCACAAAUGUAAGAAAAUUAAGGUGCAGUUAUUAUUAAUGAGUGCUGAACUUAUAAUAAUACCAAUAAUAAUAACAAUAAUUAUUAUAUAACAGGGCUUGACACUAAUUUUUUUCACAUGUUCUCUUAAGUUAAAAAAGUAAGGAGCACAAAGAACUUUAGGGGACCAAUGAAAAUUAAUCAAUAAUGUUUGUCUUAUUGUCCGACCUUAGUACUAUUAUUAGAAAUCAAUUUUAGGUCUUUUGGUCACAUGACAGUGAAGCUAUUGAAGGAAAACAGCCUUUUCUGAGAACAUCAACCGGUAAUUUAUUGACGGUCCCUUAUUCAACACCGACGUUGACAGUGAGGGUGUCGAGUAGAUUUAACCGCGCUGCUGUUGUUAUUCCCGGUUAUGGAGAGUGAGAAGACACCGGUAGAUCCUCAGAGAAUGUCCGUCAGAUAUCCAACCUGAAACUAACUUCACCGCCGUAUUUACAGGAAAAUAUAUCCAACCUGAAACUAACUUCACCGCCGUAUUUACAAGAAAAUAUAUCCAACCUAAAACUAACUUCACCGCCGUAUUUACAGGAAAAUAUAUCCAACCUGAAACUAACUUCACCGCCGUAUUUACAGGAAAAUAUAUCCAACCUAAAACUAACUUCACCGC